AAAAAAGGAACACUCCACGUGUCUACCUUGCACUUCACCGAGUACCGGAUUUCAACUUUUCAAGAGCUCGAUUACAACGGAACGGGCCCCACCCCCUUAAACCCUUUGCGCAACAACACGCCACCGCAUCACGAGUCACUAUAAAACCCCUGCUCCUAUCAACGACCUCCCUUCCAUUUACUUCACCAAUUUUUUCAUCACUCUCCACUGAAACUCUGAAAUCCUGAACAAACAGACGAGUCCACUCCAAAAAUGGACUCGUCAUCUUCUUCCACCUCUUCAACCUCCGCUCUUAACCUAGCCAUGGCCGCCUUGGUCGGCGCCUCCCUCAUGGCCGUCUCCGCCUUCUACAUCCACAAACGCAGCGUCGACCAAGUCAUCGACCGCCUCAUCGAGAUCCGCCGCAAACCGCCGUCUCGCCUCCGCUCUCAAGACGCCGACGACAACGCCGACGAAGAAGAAGAAGAAGACGAUUACGUCGAAGAAGACGAGCAGCAAGACCAGCGGCGAGGCUUCGGCUCUGACCGCGACGCCGUCACUGAUAAUCGCAAAACGGCGCCGUCCAGGUCGUUGGACGAGAAAUCGAUUCACUAUUACAGAAUCUCGUCCUCGCUGCCGAAUGCGGAUAUGAGGAGCGGCGGUUUGAUCGACGAGGACGCCAAGUUUGAUCCUCUCUCCAAUUAUCGAGCUCCUCGGUUUUCUUCCUCGGCGGAACGGCUCAAUUUCAUCCCCUCCGGCCUUCCGCCGCUCCGAACUGGUCAAGCAAAUGGUCUGUAUAAUCUGUUUAUUGUUUUCUCGUUUCGAUUUUAUAGUUGCGUUUGGAUUUUAUAGAAUUUUCACUUGUUUAAUCUUUAAUUUUCGAUUUGUAGAGUCUCAGUCCUUGAAUUCCACUACAAGGAUGGCUACGUCUGUGUCUGUUGGUAGGUUGACGACGCCGAGAUCUCACGCCGGACUAGUGGAUGAUUCCGACGAGGAAGGAACUGAGUAUGCAAAUGAAGAUGAUUGUCCUUUCAACUAUGAGAAUGGAGAUGCAAAUGACAAUGUACGUGUGUCUCUGAUACUAGCUCACUGUUCUCGCUAAUUCAUAUGCAUUGUGCUGAUCAGAAAAUGAUCAUUUUGCUUUGUUGUUUUUGUUUUUUUGUUUCAGUCAGUUUACCAAAAUGAAGGUACAAAUGCGAAGGGCUUUGAACGCAAUGGUGCAAAAUAUCUGCUGUUCAUAUAGAAUUCAUCUAUAGUUCUAAAAAAAAACGAAUUCAUCUCUAAAAAAGUUUACUGCUCUUUUGCUAUCUUUACGUUUGAAGAAAAACACACUGUACACUGUAGAAAAUCAUCAGUACAAUAAUUGUCGGCAUUUAUGGCGGAAAUAGUUUACUCUAAUCUUCAUGUUCAAAAGGUCAACGGUCAUAGUUUACUAUAAACUCGGUUGCCUUGCAUGUUUAAAUUUAUAAGUUCAGAGUUUUAUUGGAAGCAAAGCAUUUAGAAUCCGAAUAUUUUGCUAGUAGAUGUAUAGUGAUUGUAAAUUUGAGCUGUCAAACUCUGAUGUAGUGAUGUGUACAAGUAACAACUUCAUGCAAGAGGUAGAUGGAGCUACAGCACAGCUGGGGAGGAGUGACCCUUCUUUUGCAAGAAUUCUUUUGCCACUAAGUGCACCAGUGAAUGGUAAUUUAAUUUCCAACUAUUAGUUACUUCUGCAGGUCUGUUUCUGCUUCAAUGUUUCUUCCAAAUUCCUGUUAUAUCUGCAGUUUUUACUUAUUUUUCUUGUUACUCUUAAAUCCAUUUUGUUUGAAAGUUCUAGCAUAGCUGAUAUUUACAUGGUGAAUGCUAGAUGUUAUGCUUCUGUGAAUUUGAUAUCAAUAUGUUACUCAUAACAUUAUACUAUUGAUGGCUAGAAAUAAAUUGAAGCAUCUUUCUCUUUUUGUCAAAACAAUGUUAUUCAGAGUCAAUAAGCAAAGAGGAUGAAGAAGUACAAAGGAUGAUUCGAGAUUGCUUGGAUCUGCGUAAGAAGUACCUUUACAGGGAAAAUGUUGUUCCAUGGAGGGUAGCCAGGCCAGACUCAUCAGAGAAGAAAAGCAACCCAUUUCAUUUUGAACCUGUUAAACCAUCAGCUGUGAGUAAUUCUCUGCUCAUUUAAAAUAUGCCAAAUUUGUGGGAAUGAAGUUUUCAAGUGACUUGUUUUGUUUAUUAGCUUUUGUUUAAUUUAUUCUGUCUUCCAAAUCUAUCAUGCAGCACUGCUUUAGGAUGGAAGACGGUGUCGUACAUGUUUAUGCACGCGAAAAUGGUAGGAACUGAAACUUAAUUUUGAAGUUGCUUCGGUUUUAGUUAAUUUAAUUAGAAAAUAAUGCUUAUGAGAAACCAUUGUUACCCUUGUAGAAUCUGAAGAGUUGUACCCUGUUGCGAGUGCAACAACAUUUUUCACUGAUCUCCAUUAUCUUCUUAAAGUUGUGUCUAUUGGAAAUGUCCGCUCUGUAUGCCAUCAUAGGUUAAGAUUUCUUGACGAGGUUGGUUCAGUUAACUUUGCCUUAUCUUUCAAAUUUUCUGUUCUAUUUGUGACAUGUCUGGUUAAUGUGCAGAAAUACCGUGUACAUCAUUUAUUAAAUGAGGGGGAGGAGUUUUUAGCUCAGAAGAGUGCACCCCACCGUGAUUUUUACAACAUUAGAAAAGUUGAUACACAUGUGCAUCACUCUGCUUGCAUGAACCAGAAGCAUCUUCUGAACUUUAUCAAGUCAAAGCUUAAAAAAGAACCUGACGAGGUAGAAAACUAUGUUCCUUUUAGUUUGUUUCAGUGAACAUGAUAUGUUACGAUUCAAUCUUUUCAUAUCUCUGUGACUGUUGAAGUUUCUAACUACUAACUAUGAGAUUCAACUCGGAUUGCUAGGUAGUCAUAUUCAGAGAUGGAAAAUAUCUUACACUUAAGGAAGUUUUUAAGAGUUUGGACUUGACAGGGUAAAUAUUGCUCUUCCUGAAACUGUUUAUCUAUGAAUAAUUAAACCUCUCUCUCAUGCACAUUGAUUUUUCUUUAUUUUAGGUAUGAUCUGAAUGUUGACUUAUUGGAUGUUCAUGCGGAUAAGACUACUUUUCAUCGAUUUGACAAGUUCAACCUAAAGUAUAAUCCGUGUGGCCAGAGCAGACUCAGAGAGAUAUUCUUGAAGCAAGACAAUCUAAUCCAAGGUAUGAUCAUUUUGAAAGUUAAACUGUUAAGAUCAGGAUAUCAUACUUGUGCAUAUUCUUGUUGGGUCUUGGUUGAUUUACCUUUGAUAAUCAAUUGUUAUCUUAUAUAGAUUGAAGUGCAUAGCAUUUCAAUCUCUUAAGCUGGACUUGUCUUGUAAAGUUAAUGUUUUAUUUAUGUGUACAAUUGCAGGACGAUUUUUAGCAGAAGUAACAAAGGAAGUUUUGAAAGAUCUCGAAGCCAUGAAAUACCAGGUUUUCCUCUUUAACAUUUAAUAGGAAGAUUUUCUUGCAUUGAUCAUUUAUGCAUGUCUGAUAAUGAAUUUCUCGUUUUGCAGAUGGCAGAGUACAGGAUUUCAGUUUAUGGGAGAAAACAAAGUGAGUGGGAUCAACUGGCUAGUUGGUUUGUUAACAAUGACAUUUAUAGCGAGAAUGUAGUAUGGUUAAUACAGGUAUAUUAAUGCUCUUUUAUUUUGUUCUGGUAGCUGUUCUAUUCUUGGUAGUCAAUGUCUAUCUUCAUUGCUGAGAUCUUCUAUUUGUGACAUUGUUGUUGUACUUGGGAGUUGGUUGGAUUGGUGUAACAUAUUGCAAACAAUUUUUUUUUUCCAGCAUAUAAAACCGGACCUUAUUUAAGUAUAAUGUUUGAGUUUAUAUUGUAUAAACACAUUCCAGGAGAGGUAACAGUAAGGUUGUUUUAUAUUGUGCUUAUAUCAUGUUAGACAUCAGCCAUAAAUCUGUAGUUCUUUCUUUGUUACUCAUGGAUGGAAUUGCAUGAUAUUAUGUUUUUUCUUUCAUGAUAUAUUGCAAGUGACUUUUUCCUUGAAAUCAUUGUCUUGCAUAGUUUCAUUAGCUCUUAUGGUUUUAGUUUUGAAUGACAUUUGCAGCUACCACGGUUAUACAAUAUCUACAAGAAGAUGGGGAUUGUUACCUCUUUCCAGAACAUUUUAGAUAAUGUUUUCAUUCCACUCUUUGAAGUCACGGUGGAUCCAAAUUCACAUCCUCAAUUACAUUUGUUCCUGAAGCAGGUCAGCUAAACAAUCUUAUAGAUCUCUAUUACGUAUUUGGUUGAGAGAAUCAUUUUAGAUCCUGUAGAUGCUUCUUAUUAUUAUGAAGAUGUGUUGGAUUUUUGAUGUCUUAACUUUUGCUAGUACAAAGUCCAUAAGUACUGAUGUGGUUUAUAAAAUUCUAUACCGUAUAGUCUAACAUUAACAUUCGUACAAACAGGUGGUGGGUUUUGACGUUGUAGACGAUGAAAGUAGACCAGAAAGGCGUCCGACGAAACAUAUGCCAACACCAUCUGAAUGGACUAACGAAUUCAAUCCUGCAUAUUCUUACUAUGCUUAUUACUGCUAUGCAAACUUGUACACUCUUAAUAAGGUUUUUCCUUUUAGAGAAUGCUCUUAUUUCCACCCUUGUCAAAAUACAUCUAUAGGUGAUAUAGAAAAUGAUUUUGUUCUUCUUUUCCCUUUAUUUCAGCUUCGUGAGUCAAAAGGAAUGACUACAAUAAAAUUCCGGCCGCACUGUGGAGAGGUUAUUGUCUGCGACCUAAACUCGGUUAUUACAUUUAGAUGAUUUUUAAGAUUGACAAUUUUCAUAUAUCCUAUGCAGGCAGGUGAUGUUGACCAUUUGGCUGCGGGAUUUCUUGUAUGCCAUAAUAUCUCACAUGGUAUCAAUCUUCGGUACUCUCCAGUUCUGCAAUACCUAUAUUACCUGGGGCAGGUUGAUCCCUUUUGACUUUAUUUUUAUCUUUAUGUAAGUUACCCCUUAAGUUUUCAUGUUCUUUAUAUGCUAUUGAACCUUUCCGACUUGUGCUUUAUUGUUGACAAAAUAAUUAUUAACCUCCUUUACAAUGCAGGUGGGACUGCUUAUGUCACCCUUGAGCAAUAAUUCUCUUUUCUUGGAUUACAAGAAAAACCCGUUCCCUGUGUUCUUUCAACGCGGGCUAAAUGUGUCGCUUUCAAGCGAUGAUCCUUUGCUAAUUCAUUUGACAAAAGAAGCGCUGGUGGAAGAAUAUAGCGUUGCAGCACAGGUUUGUCGAUUCACGAUUCUUGUAGCUUUAUAGGUGCUGUUCAUGGUUGGGUAUCUUAUCAAAUCAAGUAUGGUGCAGGUGUGGAAGCUCAGUGCUUGUGACCUCUGUGAGAUUGCUAGAAAUUCGGUAUAUCAUUCUGGAUUUUCACAUGCAGCAAAGGUGGGAAACUUGUGGAAAGAAAAUUCUUUAGUUUUCUUCCUAAUAAAAAUAUGCAUGAUGCAUCUUAAAGACUCAUUGUUGAAAUAAAAUUGUCCAAUUUCAUAUAUGAUCUUGAAAUCUGUAUGAUCCAACUUUACCUCAAGGUAAUUGAUUGCAUGAUUCAACUCCUUGUUCGUGCAGACACAUUGGCUUGGUAGCAAGUAUUUCUUGAGAGGCCCUAAAGGAAAUGAUAUCCAAAAGACAAACGUUCCCAAUUUGAGGAUUGCCUUUCGAGAAACGGCAAGUGUUUAUGGUUUUUAAGCAGCUUUGAAAAUGGUAACAGGGUGUCCCUCUUGUCCCGAUUUUCUAAUUGUGUGCUUGGUUUUGCAGACCUGGAAGGAGGAGAUGCAGUAUAUCUACCACGGAGAAGCUGAGUUUCCAGAAGAAGUUGAUCCAUGAAGGCAGAGGGAAAGAUGCUACUGUUUCCGGAAGAAGUUGAUCCAUGAAGGCAAAGGGAAAGAUGCUACUGUUUCUGGACAUGUUCUAUAGACAAAUAGAACUUGGAAGCUACUUAUUCACCAAAUCAUAUAGAAGUAGAAAUGGCAACUUCAGCAGACAUGUAGCCAGAGCAAUGAGGGCAGAGGCACAUGGCCAAUUUUGUUCGCAUCGACACACGGCUCGGUUUUCUUCACAUCUCUGAAUCCCUAAAUUGUUUUAAGCUUAUAAUAAUAGUUGGUCGAAUAUAUAUUUACGGGUCACGGAACUCUUUGAGUGGACAAAUGCACAUCCAGAAAUUUAAUUUGUUACAGAAUGUUGGUCAUCUUAUCGUGUUAAAUGCGUAUUUCUCAUCCAGUUGGCUUGUGUUUAACAAGUAGUAGUAAAUGUUGUGCCUACAUCCCUACAGCACAAUUGAGCAUCUGGAAGGUGUUCUCAUCAAGCGCACGGUAUCCUGGUGACAGCGAAUGGGCAGAGAAGCGGGGGGACAUCAUCCGUAGUAGUAUUACAAGUAUCCAAUAUAAACUUGCACCAAAUAAGAUCACAGUGACUGUCAAUGCUGCUAAAAGAAUCCCACAGCAAAGCCAAGCGGUGAUCGUCCUCCUUUCUGAUCUGGAACAACUGUGGACUGAAUAAUCGGUAAUCAAUUGCUUCUGGUAAUGGCUGGUAAGCAUGAGGUAUCACGGUUCCAUCAUUCGGGAGACCCUGAACCGGUUCCCCUAGCCAUUGACGCUCUUUAAGAUCAAAAACAUAUAUUCCAGCAACCUCCUCUUCCCGCACCUUCACUUGAACCCAACUCCUUGCCGUUAUCUUGGCUUCUUCGGGUUUAGAUUUGCGUUUGGGACUUCUAGAGCCAAAAGAAAACAAGUAGCGAUCCUCGUAGAGGACCACGCCAGGCAACCAAUCACCCCAGAAGUUGUCAUCAAGCACAUCAUUCUCGUCCCAUUGCCUGCCUCCAAAUCAAAAGUAAGCAUAACGUUGACAUUAUUGACUCCACCUCCUUCGGUAUAGACGCAGUGGCGGAUCCAGCAAUUGGCUCACCUGGGCUUAAGCCUAGGUGAGAUUCUUUGAGGGAAAAAAAAAAAUACUACUUCAUGUAUGGUUGGUGAGCUACCUCACUUCAUAUAUAGCUUAAGGUGUUUUACCUAAGCAUUCUCCUUUGAUCGGUGAGCAAACUUCCUAUCCUACGACAACCAUUAACACUCUCACAUCAUAAUCAAAAGUUUAAAACUAACUCCUACCUUGCCUGUGCACGUCUAUCUCACUACAAUAUGCACAACAAGUGUGCUUGACAGACAUGAAAUUAUCUAGUCGAUCUGUGUUUGUUUCCUUGAUCGGUCUCUCUUCUUUGUGCGCAAAACUGUUAUCAGGGGUGGAAACCACGACGAUUAAGAAGGCUUACUCAGACUCUUAAUAGAAAAUAAGAGCUUUGGUUGAGGGGUGGAAACCACGGCAGUUAAGAAGACUUACUCAGACUAUUACUCAAUAGAAAAUAAGAGCUUUGGUUGAGGUGAUUGGAUUUGCACCAACGUGAACCAUACAUUUGAUACCCCAAUUAGAUGUUCAGCCAGUAGGCCUUAAUCUACUUAAGUUCUAAAUUUUUCAAGAAGUCACUUCGAGGAGCUGAUCUAUAAUCUCUUCUAAGUUUUGAAUCUUCUUGCAGCACCAAAACAUUCACCAUUCCACCACAGAAAUCUGAAGAACCAAGCAUGUUGCCGAUCAUUUCCAGCUCUGUCUCGUUUCGUAAGAUAUGGUUAGUUUUUGUAAAAGUUUCUCGUACAGUCAAGAUUUGGUGAAAUUUUUUUUACGUUGCAAUUAGCCCGGAUGACAAUUUUAUCCUGGAUUCGCCACUGUAUAGACGUAAAGUUUUUUCUUGAUGAUACAAGUCGUGCAUGAUAUAAGAAUCCCUCGGGCCUGUCUUGUGGCGGUAUCGGCAAUUUCUCCCAUUUACCGAUUUCGUCAUCGACACAUGGACGGAAUCGGUAAAUUAUAGGUCUCACCGAAUAAACAUACCCAUCAUGGCCAAAAGCUACUCCUCCCCCGAAUUGAAGGUCUGCAAGUUUCCCACCUCCUAAGAGCCAUUUGUCUACUACCAUAUCCAAAUCUCUCAAAUCUAUAUGACGAUAUCCAAGAGAUUCAUCAUUCAAAUAUGCAAAUACGCAUGUUUUGAUUUUAUUACGAGUCACUUUGUUAAUAAGCGGGAGCGAGGUUUUUGACACAUUGCGUGUAUUUAUAUGUAUUAUGUGUAUGACUAAAAAGUUAAGAUUAGAUGACAGUGUUUCCCACAAUUGAAUAGUUGCGAAGGGCUCUCUCCAUACAAAAUCCUUUAGUUAGUGGAGUAAACUUUUGAUAUAGAUAUGUAACUUUAGAACACGGUGCAAAGAACAACAUGGAAUCUCUCGUAUUGAACUAUAAUUUUGAUUGCAUCGACAUGGCUCUGGUUUUCUAUAGAUCUCAGAUUCUCGAUUUUUUUUUAAAAUUCUAUAGAACUCCUGGAAGACAAAUACCUAAUCGAGAGAUUUAAAUUAUUACAGAAUGUUGGUCACUAUAUAUAUCAUGUUAAAUGCGUAGUCGUUAUCAUCAGAGAAAAAAAAAAACGUAGUUCUAAUACUUCAUUUCUAGAUGACCCAAAGGAACCCAAUGAGGGAGCCCAAAGAUACCAAACAGAAAAAUUACAUUUCUACCCUAAUAGCAUAUAGAUCGGGCACAUACCCUAAAACAUAAAAACCUGAAACUAAACCUCUGCCGCCGCUCCAAGAACUUCUUUCAAUAGAAUCCCUAGAAAGCAGAUCGAGAUUCUCUCCUGUUGAAACUUUCCUAACAUAAUGAACGGCCAUGACCCUCUCUUCUUAGGGUAAGGUAGUUUCAUUAGGACAGAAUCCUAGCUCGAUCCAAACAUACCCAGAAAGCAGAUCCAAACAUUUUAUCACCAAGAGAAAUCCAGCUCAAUGGCCAACGGAAAUCCCUCUCUUAGCCUCCAAGAGAAAUUAACGUUUCAUCAACGUCGUGACAGAUUUCAUGAUCAGUACACUAUCUUAUCCACUCCUUCACCAUGUAGUAAUCCAAAUCUGGAGAAUCUCCGAUACAUACGGUAUCAACCCUACCAAGGACGAGACGGCUUCGGAACCGUUCAAGAAUGCAAAAAGCACUCCGAAGCUGCUAGACACUGGGAGACUCAGAAGAUGUACGACUCAGCAGUUCUCAUACAUCCCCAAGAAUGUAUCCGACACGAAAAAGGAAGGUAUUUGCUGGUCUUCAAUAAAGUUGUCACAGACUUCCAACACUGGAGAGAAGAACAUGAACAAGGCAGAGUCACAGAUGAGGAAAUGUGGGAGAUAUUGAAGAAGAUCGGGAAUAAUCUCAUAUACUUGUCAACUCAGUAUCGACCGCAUGGAAAUUUUAAGGGAGGUAUAGUUAUAACAACUGAAAGUCAACCUUUUUUCUUGAAUUUAAGAGCAAGUCCACGGUGGGAAAAAAAUUCACCCCAAGCUGGAUCCACGUAAGCAAACUAAUCCGGCCCAAAUUUAUGUGCUUCCACCCAUAAAAUGGGUUCUCCCAUUUUCUAGCCCGAGUUGUUUUGUUGGUUAGAAAACUAACCCAGGUGAGAGGAGCAGACUAACCCAGGCGAGAAGCAGCCAGCUUAGCCCAGCCCACACCACGUGGCUGACGUCAGCGCCCUGCCUCUGUUUCUUCGACGCGCCUGCUGCUUGCGUCUCUCCCACGGACGAACAAGCGCCAGCCCGUUGCGCGUGUCCAGCCAUCUUUUGUCGCGACAUGCGAGCUGCGUCUUCCCCACGACACGCGUCGUCACUUGCACGGCUUGACUCGUCUGUUUGAAUGCAACGGUCCACAAAUCUGGGCCAUCCGUUAUGCAAUCUGACGGCUCAUAAUAAGUAGCCGUUGGCUAUUCCAAACAGAUUUAAAAAAAUAAAAUAAAAUAUGACCGUUUGUAAUUAAUUGGGUAAACAAAAAUUUAACGGUAAGAAAAAAAUAUUAAAAAAUUUGUAUAAUCCCCUAUAAAUACCCAUCACAAUUUUACACACUCCCCACCAAUUUCUCUCACACAUCAAAAUUUCAGUUACUUUUUAAAUUCCAUAGCUUUCAUCUUCUAGGUUUUUUCUUUGUUUCAAUCAUGGCCGGAGUUAACACAACUUUGGCGAGAUGGAGUCCGGAGGAAGACCUCCAAUUGUGCAAGUCGUGGAGGUUUAUUAGCCAAGAUUCAAGAAAGGGUAAAGAUCAAAAGAAAGCCGAGCUAUGGGAUAAAGGGAUGUCUACGCAAUGAAGGGAUGUCUACGCAACCAAGUUGUGAUGAAUCUCCUAUCAACUUAGAAAAAGAUGUUGAUGAAGUUGCUCCCGACCCGAAUGUGCGACCUAUAGGAAGAAAGGCUGCAAAGGAAGCACACCGAAAAGGGAAGGCGGCCAAAGAAGAAUCACCUGUUGCAGCUGUUGUCGUGACGCUUGCAAACAGCCAAGCAUCAGUCUUGUCAGCAAGGGAAAAACGAGAUGAAGCAUACGCAAGGCAAUUGCAAGACCAACAACAACGAGAAUAUAUGCGGCUCCAAAUGGAUAUGCGGAAUGAGCAAUUCAAAAUCCAAGAGAGGGAAGAGCGUAUCAUGGAGAUGAAUCCAAGCACUAUGUCACCAGGGCCUAGGAAAGAUUAUUGGCUAGCAAAACAAAAGGCGAUAGCGGAGACACAAGCAAAUUUGUCGGGGUCUUUCCCCGGAGGAUAUCCCCAACCAUCUUUCCCCGGAGGAUAUCCCCAAACACCCUAUCCUGGUGGGUGUUACCAACCAUCUUUUCCCGGUUACUAUUAUCCCCAACCACCUUCCACCGAUGAAUCUACAAACCCCAUUGAUGACAAUGAUCCUUCAAACACCAAUUUCUUUUGUAAUGAGGAUAAUAAUCCCGAUAAUUAGAUAGUUAUUAGCAAAUUUCAAAUUAUUGUAAUUUUUUCCCCUAGGUUUGGCCUGUCAAUUAAAUGUCAUGGAAUAAAAAAAUUAAUUUCAUUAAGUCAUAUUGUUUAAUUACUAUUUAUUUACAACUAAAAUUCUUAUUCACACUUAAAAAUCAUUUUUUUAAUUCAAUAAACAGUCACUGCCACGUGACAGCAAUCUCACAUUUUAAACGGGUGGAAACUGCUAUCUGGUCACAGUGACCCAGAGUGACCCAGAUUACUGUGUUCAUUCUAACCCAACGGGUGAACUUGCUCUAAGUGAGAAAAAAGACCCAAGCCUUUUUGAGAGAGUGAUAUCAAUGCCUUACACGAAAUUCUCGAAAAAGUGGAAGAGAAGAUGCUAGAAGGCUCCGGGAUUAGAAACCGUGUUAAGAGGUGGAAAUCAUUUCUGUCCACAUCUUGUUUGGAUGUUAAACCAGGCGACCUCCCAUUAAAUUCAAAAAUCUCUCCUCUCUAUUGUCGCACCCAUGUAAAAUUGGUGUUCAAUUAUCCAAUUGUGUGGGAUUUUGAGAACAAGCGCCGGUUCCUGGCAAAUAUGUAUAUGCUGUGCAGAGACCUCUCUGUAGCCCACAAUUUGUUGAAGAAGGAAGAAUUUAGAAGCCAUCUUUGUGGUUGUGCUGACUAUUCUAAUUGGCCUGCCAAGCUGCCCAGCGGAGUUAGUGUUCUAAAAGAAGUUUACCAAUUUGGUAGUAGUAAGGGCCAAUACACAUCAGUGGAAUCCAUCGUUAUCUUUGCAGACGAUUGUGUAAGACACCAUUAUCAGAGCACACAAAGGUAUAAUAAACCUGGACCUACCGUAACACUGGUAAGCUCUCCGUUUAAUCAGUACUUUUGAUUUGGUAUCCUUUAUUUUAUGUUAAUAAAUUUGUUCUGAUUUAUCAUUUGUUUUCGCAGCCAGAGGUUAAAUCAAGUGAUAUCUUUGAUGAGUUGUAUACACUUCCCCUAUUUGAUUGAAGAUAUUUAUGAAGCAUUUCACAAGGCCUUGGCAGCUGGCUACUUCCACCCCGCAUUCUCUGUUGACAAUAUGUUGACCGGAACACUAUAAGGUGACUGAAAUUCUGUGUUGCUAUUUCUACUUGCGGUGUCUAUAUUAUGAUUGACAAUUUGGAUUGAUUUUUCUGUUCAACUAUAUAUACUUUUUCUUUGCAGAUUCUCAAGAGUGUCACUCAAAUCCGGCUAAUCGACAACCAGUAAGUAGAUUACGUUAGUUUAAUUGAAUAUGCCUGGGAAUUUAGGUUUAAGUAUAAGCCAAAACUUUGUUGUCAGUUGAAUGAUGCAAGGGAAAGAGCUUCUUUGAACAUGCUUUUGAACCUUAUGAUGUAUGGUUUUGAACCUUAUGUAAUUGUAUGAAAUGCAAAUUUCAAAGAAAAGGACUACCUGUUGUACUUUUUUCAUUCUUCAAAUGGACUGUGCCUCACUUUUGCUAUAAAUGUUCUCUAAUAUGCACAAGUAUGAUAUUAACAGUUUUAACUUUCAAAAUGAUCAUACCUUGGAUUAGAUUGUCUUGCUUCAAGAAUAUCUCUCUGAGUCUGCUCUGGCCACACGGAUUAUACUUUAGGUUGAACUUGUCAAAUCGAUGAAAAGUAGUCUUAUCCGCAUGAACGUCCAAUAAGUCAACAUUCAGAUCAUACCUAAAAUAAGGAAAACUAUUAAUAGAUAAACAGUUUCAGGAAGAGCAAUAUUUACCCUGUCAAGUCCAAACUCUUAAAAACUUCCUCAAGUGUAAGAUAUUUUCCAUCUCUGAAUAUGACUACCUGGCAAUCCAAGUUGAUUCUCAUAGUUAGUAGUUAGAAACUUCAACAGUCACAGAGAUAUGAAAAGAUUGAAUCUGUAACAUAUCAAGUUCACUGAAACAAACUAAAAGGAACAUGGUUUUCUACCUCAUCAGGUCAGGUUCUUUUUUAAGCUUUGACUUGAUAAAGUUCAGAAGAUGCUUCUGGUUCAUGCAAGCAGAGUGAUGCACGUGUAUCAACUCUCCGUGUGUAGUUUAUCGAACUAGAUUCUUCAAAUUUGAAAGAGAAAGAUGGAUACCAUGAUUUUCAAAAGUAGCGAUCGCAACAAGAGCGACUGAACAAGAUCGAGAUCCAGUAUGCAGAGAUGCAAAACAGAACAAAAUAGGGGGAUUUUGGAAAACGAAACGAAAUAUGAUCAAGGCAAAAUGCACUUCUUUCAAAUUGUACAUCACCAACGCACAUCUGAUGUGCAAAUAGAUAAAUAUUAUUUUGGAAAAAGCCCUAAACAAAUUACUAGUAAAUGCUGUGCUUACAUCCCUACAGAAGAAUUGAUGACAUGGAAGGUGUUCUCAUCAAGCGGACAGAAUCCUCGUGACAGCGAAUUAGCAGAGAAGCGGGGGUUAUUACUAGUACCAGUAUCACAUACAUUGAGCGUGAACUUACACCAAAUAAGUUUACAGAUUUUAGUCAUGCCAACAUCCCACAGCAAAGCCAAGCGGUGGUCGUCCUCGUCCUUUCUGAUCUGGAACAACCGUGGAAACCAAUCUCGGCAAUCAACUGAUGCUCCUGGUAAUGGCCGAUAAGCAUGAGGCAUCACCUUCCCGUCAUUCGGGAGACCCUUAACUGGUUCUGGUAGCCAUUGACCCUUUUCAAUAUCAAAAACAUAUAUUCCAGGAACCACCUCAUCCCGCAGUACAACCUCCCUCCACCCUAUUAUCUUGGCUUCUUCUUCUUCUCCCGGUUUUGGUUUCCGUUUUGGACUCCUGGUGCCAAAAGAAAACAAGUAGCGAUCGUUGAAGAGUACCGCGCCAGGAGACCAAUUACCCCACAAGUUGUCAUCAAGCGCAUCCUCGUCCCACUUUUGUGACUCCAAAUCAUACGAGAGCAUGACAUGGGGAUGGUAGGCUCCACCCCGUAAAGAGUAGACGUAUAGUUUUUUCUUAGUAAGACCAAGAAGACGUAGCCUAUGUAAUAAUCCCUUGGGCCUGGGGUUGGCACCUUGUGGCGGUACCGGCAACUUCUCCAAUGUCAUGUCUACUCCGGGACGGAAUCGGUAGACUGUAGGUCCAACACAAUAAGCAUAACCAUCAUGGCCAAGAGCUACUCCUCCCCCAAAUUGAGCGUCUACAAGUUUCCCACCUCCUAAGAGCCAUUCGUCUACUCCCAUAUCCAAAUUACUCAAGUCUAUGUGACGAAAUCCAACAGAUUCAUCUUGCAUAUGCUUGAGUGUAUACCCAUCUCCACCAAUCAGAUACGCACAGGAAUUUACAACAGCAAGGUUGUUAGUAGGCGAAAAUGAAUCGGGAAGAGGGGAGUCGUCUGACUCUAUCUGUUUCAGAUUCACAUCCAAUCACCUCAUUGGCAGAUGAUAGGGCUGAUUCCAUCAGCGACUUCUCCUCAAUCAAAUACCAAAAAAUCCUUCAAGAAUCCUGCUACCCUUACGUAGAUUGGCCUGUCCUUUAGGCUUUCUCCAGCCAGUGCGACUGCGCCUAUAGUCAUGGUCCCUUUGAUUCUUCUAACGUAAGAUUUUGUUUUCUUCUUUUCUGAGAGAUGGAGGCUUUUGUUUUCUCUGAGAGAGAGAUGGAGGCGUUAGGGAUUCAUCCUACUCUCUUUUAUAGGGAUUUGGGGGCAAUCUUAUUCCUAUUCCUUUUCUUAUUCCUUAUCCCGUUUUCUUUUGGACUCAAUUUGGAGAAUUUUUUAUUUUUAUUUAUUUAUUUUUUUGUUUAAGGAAAGAUAUACAAGUAUCUUAUAUUUCAUCAAAAUUUCUUUUUCCCUCUCGGACGUGAUAUUUCGAUUAUUUCCUUUCCUAAAAAUCAAUUAUUUCGAUAUUGAAAAGAUUCUUCUCCAAAUCUAACCAAUAAACAGAUUAUUCUCCCGAACUAACAUUUUCAAAAAUGAUUAUUCUAAUUUGUUUUCAUUUGCUUCAAUAUGAAAAAUUUGUGUGUUCUUUUGUCCAGGUACGAGCAGCUUUUACAACAAGGAAAACUUUCAGAGGUAAAAUUCGCAUUUCUCUAUAGUCUAAUUUGAGCUGUUAGAUUUCAAUUGCCAAGUUUCCAGUCGUUUAAUUUUUGGUUUUGCAUGGCUUGAUUUAUUGUUCAUCAGCAAAAUGUGGAAUUAGGAUUGAAAGUUUGCAAUUCCGUUCAUAUGUAAAGCUCAGUAAUGAAUUGUAUUUGUACCCAAGUCUACAACUUUAUGAAUGCUAAAACAGCUGUCACUUUUUUUUUUUGAAAGCCGGCUUCCACAUGAAGCUUUAUUUUGCUGUAUGUGUGUUGUUAAUUAACAUGAUUUGAUCCGUAUUUAUGCGUCAUGUUUGACGAUGUCUAAUUGUCGUUGUGUUUUAUAGUUGCUGGGCAUAAGAAGAGCACUGAAGUGGAAAGCAAUGAUACUGAUGAUGAUUGAUGAACAACCUACUGAUAGUUAAGGAACCAGUUGUCAAGGAUACUCGACCUGUUUGAGGGUAAAUUUACACCCUCUAGAUUUGUAGCGUAUCGAACAAGUUAUGUGGUUCGUCGUGGAUAUGAUUGAGUAUCUUUGAAGAUAUCGUUAUUGAGGCUAAACCAAGCCUACUUGGAGAUCAAGCCAUUUUGGUGUAAAUAUGGGAUAUUAUCGAUAUAUCACGGAUCCGGGGUAGUUAAUGGAGGAUUGUUUGGUUACCAAGAUUGAGUUAGAAUAAAGGAUUUGCAUUCAAGGAGUCUUAGACGUGUGCUAUGCUAGUAAGGAAGGUUUUGUUACCUUUGUGAUUAAGGAAGAUAUAUGGUUUUAUCUAAGAAGGAAGUUAAUCAUCCUUGAUUCUUUGUUUCUCAAGAGAAGCCUAAUACGUGCAUGAUCUUUGGUCAUAUGAGGAUUAUAUUCCUUAAUUGCGCUUGAAUGCAUAAAGGUGAUAUACAUGCACGUCCGAGUUGGAAGAGUCAUAAAGCAAUCUCUUUGCGUAGAAGAUGACAUCGAGAAAAUCUUCAAGAAUUAUGUAUUGAGGUAAAUAUCUUUACCUAGACUUCGUAUCUAGUCUGAUAUGCGAAGCGAUACCUGCGGUUCAAUUCAGUAGAUAUAUUUCUUUUCCAUUGGGUAAUUAUUGGCGGAAGAUUUGUAGGAUAUCUCAAAGAUAUUGUGUCAGAGGGCUCGGUUAGGAAAAUAUAUUUCUAGAUUCAAUUAGAUGUUGGAUUGUUUCAGAGACAAGUCAUUCGCAAACCCUAGCCACCCAAUUUCAUAUAAGGAGGUCAAGGCGAAUGAGAAUAAACCCCGACAAUUCAACAAAAUUCUGCAUCACUGCAAAUUGGACGCCUCCCCAGGAGCACCUAAUUUACCAAAAAAGCCUCUCCAAGGAGCACCACCAAAGCCUCAUUGCGAGCAAAUCCCGCUUCACUCACCAAGCCUCAUCGCGAGCAAAAAGUCCACCCCCAGUUCAUAAAGCCUCAUUGCGAGCAAAAGUCCGCCCCAUUGUUAAGGAGAAAUCCUUAGCAAAUAUCCUUUUAUUUUUAUUUGUCACUAAAGUAAAUCCUAAGGAUCCGUCCUAGGUCGUUGUGAAGGUCGUUGUGAAGAGCCUCAGCAGCAAGACCGACCGUUCAUGCUCACAGUUGUUUGAAAGAAGUCAAGAGAAGUGCGCGAACAAACAAGAUCAAGACAGGCACACUUUCUUAAGGUGUUGGCACGCUCGCACCAGACGGUUGUUCGAAGGACCUGAAAAAUCCACCCCAAACAUUUUGGCAUGCCCGUCAGCGGGACACAUCAGUGGCAAAAUUGUGACUGACAACAUCUAUAGUAAAGAAUGUCCUUAGUGUUCCAUGUCGGAACAUUCGCACUGCAAACCUCACAAUCCUUUGAGGUGGGUUGACUAUCGAGCUAGUUAACCAGUGUUUCGGUAUAGAAACGAUGACCGGAGCAAUCUUUUGAGGUGCAAAGGGUUGACUAUCGAGCUAGUUAACAACAUUUCGGUAUAGAAAUGAUGAUCGGAGGGUCUGGAGUCAAGAAACCUGUUUCUCAAGUGAAGUUUCUUGAUGCACUGGAAAAGAUACACAGACCUAAAAUAGGUAACUACAAGAAGCAUAUGGGUUGGAGCUGCUAGAAUUGCCGAACGUAAUAAUCGGGCUGACUAGUUUUGGGAUAAAACAGGUGAACAUGCUGAGAAAAUCACAGAUCUUACAGAGGUGACUACGAAGCCAAAGACGUUUUUUGUGUCCGAGAGCCGCAGUGAACCCCAUAUUUGGAGAAAGCAACAUGAAGCCACUAAGGUAGACUGGUUGGCUUCGAAUAAAGCUUUACGGUCUAGCGUAAAGCUUUCACAUGAAAUCUUCCCCCUAAAAAAAUUGAAGAAGCCCAGGAAAACGAAAAUUACAUCACGAUUUAGAUUGUAUCUCGAUGAAACAAUACAUCAAUGAAAAGUUAGUCAGAUAAGCUUAGCAAUUUUUUUAGAUAAACAAAACAGGCCAAAACUCAUCUUUCUUAAAAAAUGAAAGAAAAGUACGUCCAUUUUAUUGUAUAAGUUAAAAAAACCUGUUACGAAAAAAAAAGAGCUGCAAAACAGCGAAGAGGUUUUACAACGUCAAGAAGUAGAGCCUACAGCUGAAAAGCAUAUUUUUGCCAAAGAGGUUGAAUCACCUUGUGACCGAUCUAGUGGUGAAAGCUUUUUUCUAGACGAGUCUGCGUUGGAGAGAACCGAUUUGCCAACUUAUGGUGAAUCCCAAACGGAGCAUGAACGUGAAGAAGAUAUCCAACAAAGCUGUUCGAACGAAGAAGUCGUUAUGUUCAUAGACGAAGAUGUAUACAUGGACACCGGCCAGAGACAUGGAGGGCAAACAAUUGAUGACGCCUCUGCCAAUAUUCAGCUUCUUGCCGAUCAGACACAAGUUCAUUUUAAAUACCAGGCGAAGCUGGAUGAUCAAUUUGCUGUUCAUAGCGAAGGAAAGCAUGUAGAAGUACCGAAUGAUCAAGCUACUGGACGUGUUCAAAAGGAUGAGCAGAAUCAUGGUCAACAUGUCCAAUCACAUCAGCAAUCAAGUUCCAAGCCAAUUUGUGGCAUUAUUAACCAAUGUGGGUUAAGUUCAUUUCUUGUUACUACUGUACGGGUCCAAGAAAGUGGUCAAGAUCAUGACCAAUGUAAUUACAAGUUGAGAUUUAACCCCUUUAAGCCAAUUCGUGGCUCUGCCAAUGACCCUAACUUGAGGUUCUGUAUGAAGUAUUCAAAACCAAAUUGUGGUUUUGAUAAAAAUUAUAUUCAUGAUCCAUCUUCUGACCAGAGCAAUUCUAAUGGCCAAACUAUAUGUUAUGAUGGUGAUUUUGAGUGUCUUCAGUACCUAGUAAGUUUGGCUUGCAACGUUCAGACUCUAACCUUUCCAGGGAAGGAGUUCCAUGACGAUGGUACCUCACAUACAUCUCGCCGUGAUGCUUACAACCUCUACAGGGGCCCAUUCAUCUUCGGCGGAUGUAAGUUCAAAUACAAAGAAGUUGAUCUGCUGGCUUGUAGUUAUUAUGCUCCAAAGUUCCUGGAGCAGAAAUUUUUUUAUGAUGAUACUGGCCAAGCUUUGCAGACAACACAUGAUGUUUACAGUUUCGAUAUGCCUAUCUUUGAGGCAGGGACUUACUCACCAUUCGGUAGUGAUUAUGAUUAUGAUUUUAACAUGGAGCCGAUCUACGAUGAAUACGAUAUGAUAGUUGGCGACAAGGCUGAUCUCUACUCCAUGCCAUCCGUAAAGGUGCAAUUGAAGAUUAUGCUUUGUCAAGGGGCAAAGAUGCAUGGGGGGCUAACCGACAUGCCCUACAAGCAGCCUCUUCUAAAUUUUCAAGUGAGUGACACAAAGCAUCUCUGCUCAACACUUGGAAGUUCUCGCAAGAGAGAGACUCAUUCCGCGAAUGUCAACAUGUCAAGACUUGGAGUGAAGCAUUGGUGGCCUCCCCCGUGGCCAUACGAAGGGUAACUAACCAUGUUGAGUUUCCUUCUUUCCUUUGCUUUUAGCUUUGCCAUUUAGUUUUUCGUUUUAGUUCUUGCAUUGAAAAGAGAAAAUACAAAAAGAGAUUAUGAGUUUUGCUGAAAUGCAAAACAACCUUCGUACCUAUCAGAGGUUCGAUCUGUUUAUCAUAUAAUUAGAGGCCUAUAUCUGAGGCCUUGGAUAUAAGAGACUGUCAAUGUGUCUUAAUGUUGCAGCCAUAGUACCAAUGAAGUUCAAGCCACAGCAGAAAAGAAGACAAGUUUGCAAUUCUGCAAAUUACAGCAGCCUCUACUGUGCGGCAAAUUCGCGGAUUAAACUGGGAAGAUCUAGGAGGAACCAGCGAGCACUCUUAAUAUGCAUGGCAAUCCCUGUGAGUCUACUUUCCAGCAAAAUUUACGGUUUGCAAUUCCGACGUUCCACGAGAAAGUUAUGUCAGUUUUAGUACCAGAAGGUCAGAAUGCACCAAAAUCAGCAUCAUGUGUUUGUUCAUGACCUUUGGAGCUUCUAGCAAGGUACCUUUGGCUCGGCCAAUGCGUAUUGGUUUUGUUCUCUAUACUUGCGUGCAUACUUGGGGGGCUUGAGACUCAAGUUUUGCUACCCUUCAUUCGCUCAAUUUCGGACACCAAAACUUGGGGGCACAUAUGGGUAGACAUCAGGCUGUUGGGUUUCACGCAGCAGAUCGGUCAACAAGAUACAAUAUCGAGAAUGCAACUAUAAUGGGAAAAACAAAUGCACACAACAACACAAGAUUUAACGUGGUUCCCUCACUCUUUGAGGUACAUCCAUGGGGCGUGAUCCGAUCUUUCUUUACUAUUGAGAAUAAUGAGAACUAAAUACAAGGUGUUUCGCUCAAGUUUAUAACCCAAACCCGAACCCUUGUACACCCCUCUCAACUCACACUCUCAAUACUCAGUAAAGCUAAGUCUCUUACAACACUUACAAGAGAAUGAAAUUCUCUCUAAAUAAGAGACUACACAACUCGGACCACACUGCAAAAUGCAAAGGUUUCAUGGCUAUUUAUAGCCAAAUCCUUCUCUCUCAACAUGCAUAAACCAUGCAAAGAAGAAAAGGCAAGUCUUGCUUUUCCUUCUUUCCCGUUCAAUGUUUCUACACCAAUAGUCUCAAACUAUUACCAAUAGUUCUCAACUAUUGAGUUCUCUUCAUGCAUGUUCUCUACUCUUUCUAUAUGAAUACCAAGAACAAUAGUGCACAAUAGUAGGCUUGUUCCCUUAACUUCAACUAUGGUUGCACCACCCAUUCAUUGUGUUAUGGAGCUAGAUUCCCAUGCAUUUACCUUGUGCAUAUUGCAGCCUUUUUCUUCCGUUCAAACAAUACUGCACCUACUAGCAAACAUGACAUUAGUUUGAGCCACAUCUCAGCAUCCACCUUGGCGAAAACUUAAUGACAUCAACCUGAAACAUCAAUUAUUGCAUCUAUAUUUAGAUGCUCAUCCCCACGCCCUGGGAUGCUCCAUCCAACCCCCCCCCCCCCNNNNNNNNNNNNNNNNNNNNNCCCCUCCCUCUCUCUCUCUCUCUCUCGCCACCGUGUUUUCACAGCUUCUUGAAUCAAUUAAAACCACACAUUUCCUUCCAUAAGUAGUACAAUGAGUAUGGAAAAUAUUUGUUCGCAGCCAAUGAUCUUCCCCUUGUGACUUUGGUGCUGCCAAAACUCUUCUAAUAACAAGGCUCUCAGCUCCCCUAUCAGGUCCACACACUUCUUCAAGAAUUUCUCCCUCCUCAUCAGUGUCAUAAAUUGGCAAGUCCUCAUAUUCUUCAUUGAUCAUGUUCAGACGUGCUUCUUUAUUUUUCUUUGGACAUUCAUAGGCCAUGUGACCCUCCAAACCACACCGAAAACAAUUGACAUCUUUUUUCUCACAGCCUCGCGAGCUAUUAUCCACGUUCUAUCGACGCUUUAUAUGAAAUUUCAGUGCCAUAAUUGCUCCUCUAACAGAUUUUAUGAAAGCCAGUCAAUUCGCUUGGACAAAAUUUGCUGAAGAUUGCUUCAACUUAAUUAAGCAGAGGCUUACUGCAACACCAAUACUGGCAUUACCGAAUUUUGAUGAAGUGUUUGAAGUGGAAUGUGAUGCUUCUCAUGUGGGAAUCGGGGCUGUUUUAAGUCAGAAAGGACGUCCAAUUGCCUUCUUUAGUGAGAAGUUAAAUGACGCCAAUAGGUGUUAUUCCACUUAUGAUGUGGAGUUUUAUGCAAUUGUGCAAUCCUUGAGAUUCUGGCAACACUACUUAAUUCAUAACGAGUUCGUAUUAUAUUCUGAUCAUGAAGCACUUCGGUUCCUCACUGCUCAAAAGAAGCUCAAUUCGAUGCGUGCUAAAUGGGUGUCUUUUCUUCAAGAAUAUACAUUUGUUAUCAAGCAUAAGUCUGGUGCAAAGAACAAAGCAGCUGAUGCACUUAGCCGCCGGGUUGUUUGCUUAACACCUUGUCUUAUGAAGUUACUGGGUUUGAUCUACUUCCACAAUACUAUAAUUCUGAUCCAUUCUUUAGCAAAGUUUUGGUUGAGUGUGACGUUGGCCAAAGUAGAGAAUUCAUGUUGCUGAAUGGAUAUUUAUUUAGAGGCAGUCAACUUUGUAUUCCGGAAGGAUCUUUAAGACUUCAAAUAAUCAGUGAGUUGCAUGGGGGAGGCCUAGGUGGGCAUUUUGGAAGAGACAAAACUUUAGCUUUGGUUCAAGAAAAGUACUUCUGGCCGAAGAUGAGACGUGAUGUGGAGAGGUAUGUUAGUAGGUGUAUCAUUUGCCAGCAAGCAAAAGGGGGGAAACAAAAUACUGGCCUUUAUCAACCACUUCCUAUUCCUAGCCAAUCUUGGGAAGACAUUAGCAUGGACUUUGUGUUGGGUUUGCCAAGAACACAGCGGAAAAAUGAUGCGAUUUUCAUGGUUGUAGACCGAUUUUCGAAGAUGGCUCAUUUUAUUCCAUGUAAAGACACCACAGAUGCCUCACAUACAGCUCAUCUUUUCUUCAAGGAAGUUGUUCGCUUGCAUGGUGUGCCUAAAACCAUAACCUCAGAUCGUGAUACGAGAUUCAUGAGCCAUUUUUGGAGAACUCUAUGGAAGCUUAUGGCCACCAGCUUCAAUUUUCCAGCACUUGUCAUCCACAAACUGAUGGACAAACUGAAGUUGUGAAUCACACAUUGGGUAAUCUUCUGAGAUGUCUUGCUAGUGAUAGUCCUCGUCAAUGGGGCUUGGUGAUUCCACAUGCCGAGUUUGCUUACAAUAGUUCCAAGAAUCGUUCCACUCACAAGACUCCAUUUGAAAUUGUGUAUGGACGAAGUCCAAGUCAUAUAUUGGAUCGUGUUCCUAUUCCUAAUAUUGCCAAGAGUAGCAUGGAGGCGAAAGAACUCAGUAGUCAUAUUCGUGAAAUUCAAGAAAAAGUUCGAAUGAAUCUCGAAGGAGCAUAUGACAAUUACAAAAGAAAUGUUGAUGCACAUAGACGCCAUGUUGAAUCCCAAGAAGGUGAUUUGGUGAUGGCAUAUUUGAGAAAGGAAAGAUUCCCAGCUGGUACUUAUCACAAGCUGAAAAAGAAGAAGAUUGGUCCUUGUCGAGUCUUGAAGAAGCUUGGACCUAACGCUUACAAGCUUGAGCUGCCAGCAAGCCUGAACAUCAGUUUUCAACAUUUCUGAUCUGUAUCCUCUUCAUGGUGAGCCAGAUUCAGUUCCUACACCUCCUCAAGACAUGGACCUCUCCUCUACACCUAAGGAGACUAACUCACUGGAGGUUCUUGAUAGCAGAUCCAUUUCGACUCGUCGAGGUACUUACACACAAUAUUUAGUUCAUUGGAAGAAUUUGCCUAAGUUUGAAGCUAUAUGGAUUACUGAAAAAGAUUUGAAGGAGCUUGAUGAAGUGACAUGGGAACGAGUGGUACAUUCCAAACUCGAGGACGAGUUUUUUCCGGGAAGGGAAGAUUGAUGCAUCAGUUAAGAGUCCAGGUCAAUAUAAUUAAUAUCCAUUGGAAGGGCAAAGUAAUUUAAUUGCUGGUCUAGUCAUGCGUAUAGAAAGUUGUUAAGUCAUCUUUGGUCAUAGUGAGUGUCCUAUUGAAACUUGAAUUCCAAUUAAGUUGCGUCUCCCAUAUAUAUCUUGUAACAUUGGCUUGGGCAGAUUAACGUUAUAGAAAGUUUGCUUCAGAGUAUAUUCUCUAUUUUGUUUGGUGAGUGAUUCCCAAAACCCUCUUUUCUGGUUGAGUGAUUCCCAGAUCAAACACAACCACCCCCAACCCCCCCCCCCCUGUAUACACCUGCAUCACAUCCAAUCUGGCUCAUGCCUAAUUGCCUAUUAGUUAACAACUUUUUGAGUUGUGAUUAGAGUGCAUUUUGAGUUUGGAGCUAAGCCACAAGGAAACAAAAUAUUGACAUUCGCCAGAAGGAAUAUGGAGGACACUCUAAUAUCUUUUGGAGGAAUGAAUACAGAGUUGACGACAGUACAAGAAGACCAUGUUUAUGGUUUGGCAAAGCAUCAAUGCAAUAGUGCGAAUCUAUUUGUGACUCAUCUCACAGGGAGCUUGUAGUUCUCAAUCAUGGAGCCAAAUUAACGCAAGCAUACUGAAGUAAGUUCAACUCUGCACAGUCAGCUCAAUUCCAUCAGGUACUACAACUGGAAAACUUAUAUCUGAGGCUCAAAGUUCAAGUUUAAUCGGCUUACGCUCAUUCCAACAGUUAACAAGUUAGUGGUUUCCAUUCACCACACCCAAUUAAACUGGGGGGCUACACUAUAUACAUUCUGCCAAUCCGUGGGGAAAAUUUUUGAAACUUUUCUAUUUUUGACUUAAUUUCUUUUCAUUCUUAGAAACCGAUCCCUGCGGUUUUAAAUUUUAUCUCAUGUUUUCUGGGAACUUGCCUAUUAGGCUUAUUAGCAGCAGCAGUUGUCAGGAGACAUGGUUUCUUGAGGGCAGUUUACCGAGCAGUUCCACACUUUCUGGAAGUCCAAGUCAAGCAUGCAUGGCUUCAAAUACGUACUACUAAUUACAAGGUUCAGUUUCAGCUGCUAUAUUGCUCAGAAGACACAAGGGAAGGUCAUGGAAGAGAUCAUGCAAGUCCGCCCCUUCAAUGAGAAAAUCUGGAAAUUUUCAAAGUUGGCUUCCUCUGAGGCAUUUUCGUAGCUCAUUCGCGCCUCCUUGAAAGGAUUCAAUGUCUGUUCUCCCUAUACCAUUUUUGAGCCAUGAUAUGGGAUUACAACUCUGUAAAAUAAUCAUGCCAUUCGCUGCUUUUAAGCAUGAGUUAUGAGCUCCAAAAUUUGUUACCUUAAAACAGCCUUUUUCCAGAAACUUAACUACACUGAGUUUUUAUGGCUUUGUUUCUUUGUCUUAACAUGUACCUAUCACUGAGUUACUGAUUUUUACAUCAACAUGUGAUGUUGUAGAACAUAUAUAGUUCAAUAAUAAUCCAGAGAGACCAUGGGAAGAGCAAGUACAAGCUCAAGAACUCAGCCAAAUGAUAAGUAAAAGCUGGCAAUUUCAGAAUCAGCUUUCUUGGAGCUGUUUUGUGAGAUCAUCCGCGCCAUCUUCCAAGGUUCUUUUUGCUGUUCAUUCUACCAUACAUUCAAGUAUAUAUUUUAUGCUACAUUUUUAGCUCAAGAAAUGAUCAGAAAAAUCAUCCGGGCAUGGCGUAAAUCGUGCCUAAAGUUGGCAUCCUGAACAUCAAAACUCAUCAGCUUUUUCACAUCACAUUUUGUGGAGUUGGUUUCUUGGUUUUCUUGGAAGUUUAUCAUGAAGGAGUUGGUUCAAUUCCGUUGCCACAACAUCAUACAUCAAUGUUCCAUCAUAAAACAACCAGUAAGUGGUUCACAAAAGCUUAUUCGAUUCAUCUGAAGUUGGCUUUAUGAAAUGUGCCUACUUUGAGGCUAAGUUCUAUUCAGUUAUUGUUAAGACCAAUGCCUGUGGCCCUUUUGCUAUGUUUUAAACUUUUAGUCAAGCAUGGGGGCUUCCUCUCUACGUUAAGCCAUUCAACAGAAGCUUAAGGCAUGUUCUGGUCAGAAUGUGUUCCGUCAUCUUCCAAGUUCAGGUAUUUAUGUAGAGUGCAUUGGUUAUCAUGUUGGUGAUUAAUUGUACUUCUAUAUGAAUUGCCUAGCUACUGCUUAUUGUCAUGCAAGCUUCAAAGACCUAUCUCUGAGGUCUGUUUCUACAUUCGCUCGAGUCAAGCCAGUAAGUGGCUUUCGUCGUUACAAAUGCAGCAUUAGGGGCAUAGGUCUUUUCAGUCAAGACACAUGGCUUUUCAUUCAAGACGGUGGGGGGGGGGGGGGGGGGGUAAAUUUGAGGGUAAAUUUACAACCCCUAGAUUUGUAGAGUAUCGAAAAAGUUAUGUGGUUCGUCGUGGAUAUGAUCGAGUAUCUUUGGAGAUGUUCGUUAUAGAGGCUAAACUAAGCCUACUUGGAGAUCAAGCCAUUUUGGUGUAAAUCUGGGAUAUUAUCGAUGUAUCACGGAUCCGGUAGUUAAUGGAGGAUUGUUUGGUUACCAAGAUUGAAUUAGAAUGAAGGAUUUGCAUUCAAGGAGUCCUAGACGUGUGCCAUGCUAGUAAGGAAGGUUUUGUUACCUUUGUGAUUAAGGAAGAUAUAUGGUGUUAUCUAAGAAGGAAGUUAAUCAUCCUUGAUUCUUUGUUUCUCAAGAGAAGCCUAAUACGUGCAUGAUCUUUGGUCAUAUGAGGAUUAUAUUCCUUAAUUGCGCUUGAAUGCAUAAAGGUGAUAUAUAUGCACGUCCGAGUUGGAAGAGUCAUAAAGCAAUCUCUUUGCGUAGAAGAUGACAUCGAGAAGGUCUUCAAGAAUUAUAUAUUGAGGUAAAUAUCUUUACCUAGACUUCGUAUCUAGUCUGAUACGUGAACGGCCGAUACCUGCGGUUCAAUUCAGUAAAUAUAUUUCUUUUCCAUUGGGUAAUUACUGACGAAAGAUUUGCAGGAUAUCUCAAAGAUAUUGUAUCAGAGGGCUCGGUUCCUAGCCGCCCAGUUCCAUAUAUAAGGAGGUCAAGGCGAAUGAGAAAAACCCCCCGACAAGACGCCACUGCAUCACGAGCACUAUAAAACCCUCCCCUCCUAUCGACGACCUCCGUUUCAUUUCAUCACUCUCCACUGCAACUCUGAAAUCUGAAAUCCUGAACAAACAGACGAGUCCACUCCAAAAAUGGACUCGUCAUCUUCACCUUCUUCAGCUACCGCUCUCAACCUAGCCAUGGCCGCCUUGGUCGGCGCCUUCCUCAUACAUUGAUUUUUCUUUAUUUUAGGUAUGAUCUGAAUGUUGACUUAUUGGAUGUUCAUGCACAAGUUCAACCUAAAGUAUAAUCCGUGUGGCCAGAGCAGACUCAGAGAGAUAUUCUUGAAGCAAGACAAUCUAAUCCAAGGUAUGAUCAUUUUGAAAGUUAAACUGUUAAGAUCAGGAUAUCAUACUUGUGCAUAUUCUUGUUGGGUCUUGGUUGAUUUACCUUUGAUAAUCAAUUAUUAUCUUAUAUAGAUUGAAGUGCAUAGCAUUUCAAUCUCUUCAGCUGGACUUGUCUUGUAAAGUUACUGUUUUAUUUAUGUGUACAAUUGCAGGACGAUUUUUAGCAGAAGUAACAAAGGAAGUUUUGAAAGAUCUCGAAGCCAUGAAAUACCAGGUUUUCCUCUUUAACAUUUUAUAGGAAGAUUUGCUUGCAUUGAUCAUUUAUGCAUGUCUGAUAAUGAAUUUCUCUUUUUGCAGAUGGCAGAGUACAGGAUUUCAGUUUAUGGGAGAAAACAAAGUGAGUGGGAUCAACUGGCUAGUUGGUUUGUUAACAAUGACAUUUACAGCGAGAAUGUAGUAUGGUUAAUACAGGUAUAUUAAUGCUCUUUUAUUUUUGUUCUGGUAGCUGUUCUAUUCUUGGUAGUCAAUGUCUAUCUUCAUUGCUGAGAUCUUCUAUUUGUGACAUUGUUGUUGUACUUGGGAGUUGGUUGGAUUGGUGUAAUGUAUUGCAAACAAUUUUUUUUCCAGCAUAUAGAACCGGACCUUAUUUAAGUAUAAUGUUUGAGUUUAUAUUGUAUAAACACAUUCCAGGAGAGGUAACAGUAAGGUUGUUUUAUAUUGUGCUUAUAUCAUGUUAGACAUCAGCCAUAAAUCUGUAGUUCUUUCUUUGUUACUCAUGCAUGGGAUUGCAUGAUAUUGUGUUUUUUCUUUCAUGAUAUAUUGCAAGUGACUUUUUCCUUGAUAUCAUCGUCUUGCAUAGUUUCAUUAGCUCUUAUGGUUUUAGUUUUGAAUGACAUUUGCAGCUACCACGGUUAUACAAUAUCUACAAGAAGAUGGGGAUUGUUACCUCUUUCCAGAACAGUUUAGGAAAUGUUUUCAUUCCACUCUUCGAAGCCACGGUGGAUCCAAAUUCACAUCCUCAAUUACAUUUGUUCCUGAAGCAGGUCAGCUAAACAAUCUUAUAGAUCUGUAUUACAUUUUUGGUUGAGAGAAUCCUUUUAGAUCCUGUAGAUGCUUCUUAUUAUUAUGAAGAUGUGUUGGAUUUUUGAUGUCUCAACUUUUGCUAGUACAAAGUCCAUAAGUACUGAUGUGGUUUAUAAAAUUCUAUACCGUAUAGUCUAACAUUAACAUUCGUUUACAAACAGGUGGUGGGUUUUGACGUUGUAGACGAUGAAAGUAGACCAGAAAGGCGUCCAACGAAACACAUGCCAACACAUCUGAAUGGACUAAUGAAUUCAAUCCUGCAUAUUCUUAUUAUGCUCAUUCCUGCUACGGAAACUUGCACACUCUUAAUAAGGUUUUUCCUUUUAGAGAAUGCUCUUAUUUCCACCUUGUCAAAAUAUAUCUAGGUGAUAUAGAAAAUGAUUUUGUUCUUCUUUUCCCUAAACUCGGUUAUUACAUUUAGAUGAUUUUUAAGACAAUUUUCAUAUAUCCUAUGCAGGCAGGUGAUGUUGACCAUUUGGCUGCGGGAUUUCUUGUAUGCCAUAAUAUCUCACAUGGUAUCAAUCUUCGGUACUCUCCAGUUCUGCAAUACCUAUAUUACCUGGGGCAGGUUGAUCCCUUUUGACUUUAUUUUUAUCUUUUUGUAAGUUACCCCUUAAGUUUUCAUGUUCUUUAUAUGCUAUUGAACCUUUCCGACUUGUGCUUUAUUGUUGACAAAAUAAUUAUUAACCUCCUUUACAAUGCAGGUGGGACUGCUUAUGUCACCCUUGAGCAAUAAUUCUCUUUUCUUGGAUUACAAGAAAAACCCGUUCCCUGUGUUCUUUCAACGCGGGCUAAAUGUGUCGAUUUCAAGCGAUGAUCCUUUGCUAAUUCAUUUGACAAAAGAAGCGCUGGUGGAAGAAUAUAGCGUUGCAGCACAGGUUUGUCGGUUCACGAUUCUUGUAGCUUUAUAGGUGCUGCUCAUGGUUGGGUAUCUUAUCAAAUCAAGUAUGGUGCAGGUGUGGAAGCUCAGUGCUUAUGACCUCUGCGAGAUUGCUAUAAAUUCGGUAUAUCAUUCUGGAUUUUCACAUGCAGCAAAGGUGGGAAACUUGAGAAAGAAAAUUCUUUAGUUUUCUUCCUAAAAAAAUAUGCACCUAAAUGAUCCAUCCUAUAGAAUCAUCAUGGAAAUAAAAGUACGUCCAAUUUCAUAUAUGAUCUUGAAAUCUGUAUGAUCCAACUUUAUUGCAUAAUUCAACUCCUUUUCCUUUUUCGUGCAGACACAUUGGCUUGGUAGCAAGUAUUUCUUGAGAGGCCCUAAAGGAAAUGAUAUCCAAAAGACAAACGUUCCCAAUUUGAGGAUUGCCUUUCGAGAAACGGCAAGUGUUAAUGAUUUUUAAGCAGCUUUGGAAGAGGUUAACAGGGUGCCCCUCUUGUCCCGGUUUUCUAAUUGUGUGCUUGGUUUUGCAGACGUGGAAGGAGGAGAUGCAGUAUAUCUAUCACUGAGAAGCCGAGUUUCCAGAAGAAGUUGAUCCAUGAAGCAAAGGGAAAUAUGCUGCUGUAUCAUGUUCUUCUAAAUACAAGUAUAGAUUGGAAGCUUUGGCGGCAGUUACAUAGGUCUAAGCUGAAGGAGCAUAGGAAAUAUUGUGUGGAUCACCCCGUGGUGAUCGGCAAACUUGCUAAAGUAAAAGCUGAAGUUUUGGGAUCAAUUUGGUAUCAUGUGUGUUGACAUUUGAUGGUGUUCCACUACAUUAAAACACUAUUACAAAGUAAAAGCUGGAAGUUUUGGGAUUGAUGGUUUUUAGAAGUGGCUAUGAUACCACUCUUAGAAAUUGUUAUGUGCGGAAGCUUUUAAUGGUGAUGGGCUAGAACAAAGUGUUUAGGACUUUGGUAUAUAGGAGCUAGACUUGGGAGAAUGAUGUUAUUAGGACAAGGUUAUUAUGACAACUAGUUUAGGAGGAUAGAGGAGAAGGUGUAAACAGAGGAGGACUUAACUUGAAUUGCUUGCUUCUAUUUAUCACUUAUGAGUUCGUUACAUUGUUUGAUUACAUUGCAUACUUAUUUAUACAGGUCACUAACCGACCUUGCAUGGUAGCCACAGACCUUAUGGUCUUCUCUAGAACAUCCUAGACACUAGGUUACAUUUGUUUAAUUACAUGAUUAUUCCAGAAACUUUUGUCUAUCAUCUUAGUUUCUAGAUUAAUCUACCUAGCUCUAGGACUUAAUUACAUCUCAUGAUCCUUCUAGAUUAACUAGCAACACUAGGCUUCUCUUGAUUAAUCUAGAUUUCUCUAGAUUAUUUUUAUCAAUGUGCAUUAUGUUUUAACAGGGAUCAAUUUGGUGUCAUGUGUGUUGACAUGUUGACAUGUGAUGGUGUUCCACUACAAUGAAGCACUAUUACAAACCAGACUUUAAGAACUCAACACGAAGAAGCAAAUUCCAUAACACAAAGAAACAAAUCCGUUUCAGACAAAAAAAAAAAAAAACAAAGGGAACAAACUCCAUACAAAAACCAAAAAGAACCUGUAAGCAAACAACAAAAAGAACAAUCGUACAGGAGAAAUAUAUGAAAGGCAAUCCUAUAAUCGUCCGGUUAAUAUAUCGCCAAUGGGGAACUUGGAAUGGGAGUAGCCACCAAACACCACGGCAUGUAGAAGGCUUCGUAGAUUCGUUCGAUCAAAGAGGGAAAUCGUAUAUAUAAUUCAAUAAGAAUAUUACUUGCCUCCAUCUCCCGCUGUUACAAAAUAAAACAGAAACAUCAUAAAUUGGUAUCAAUUUAUUAAAUAAAUAACAAAAUUUCAAGCAACGAGUAAAGGAGCUUACCAGACGUACACCAUGCACCUUGUUAUAGUUCUGUGCCUCCAUAUGCCGGUGUCUAACGUAAUUGUGUGCGAAGAUCACAAUGGAUGCCGGAGAUAUAACCAUUUGACUGGUAUGUGGGUCGUACACUUCCCUGUAGAUUCCUUUACUAGAACCAAAUAGGCACACUUCGUUGAGAGCAAGGGCUCCGUGAGUCAAUUCUGCUGGCCAAUUCCAGUAGUGCUGUUCUAGAGAUGCUUCAAAUGUUGGAUGGUUCAACAGAUUAUACUGGGAUUGUGGGUCAUCGGUUGUGCAUAGUUGAUAUAUAUUCGCUAGAAAUCUUAGUUUGUUGUUGCUAUCCCAAGAGAUUGGAUAGUUAAAGACAAACUUUAGGUGGUCGCCAGUAUAAUCAUGAGGAAGGAAAGGUGGUGAAGUAUCUGCACAACUCAUGGACAGAAAAGACCACCAAUUCUCAACAUGCUUCUGUGAGUCCUUGUCCCGCAACUUAACUUUUUCAAGAAUUUCAUCACGCAAGACUUUGGCAUCACUUUGGUAUAUGAGUGGUCCUGUUUCACGCCCCAAAUUUAAAAAGAGAGGCUGAAAAUCAGUAGUCACUCCUAUACCUUGAAGCAAAUUACCAUGCGCCCGGUUAACUUCUACCAAAUAUGUCAUGUGUUGCCCAACUUUGCUCAAGAUGUUCCACAUGGCUUCAUCUGUAACUUGUCCCUUGGUAUGUUCAUCCAUCCACACCUUGAUGUGUCUGAUGACCUUUGGAAAAAUCGGCCAGUAUGUUCCUUCCUUUAUCUUCCUACAACGCUGUGGAUGUAUGAAUACUUUUUCAUCGUGCCUCGUUUGAGUGUCCCAAUGUCUUGUAGCUUCAGCAUCGCUGUUGCACACUUGUACAGUUGCAAUACUGUACCUCUCGAUAAAGUCUUGACAUUUGAUGUAUAUGAGAUAUUCGAAACUUUCAAGAGAUUGUCGAGGCCUAAGUUCACGGUAAAAAACUUCCCUCCUUCCCUCCUCUUCUAGCCUUGAUUCAAGCCUUGAUGAAGGAUUCGAAACCAUUAUACCUUUUGGAUUAUGAUCAAAACUCGUAAGCUGUUCUGUUUCGAUUUGGGUUUAAAUAAGAGAGGGACACCCACAAUAUCUCCUAUUUUAUGAAGGUAUUGUGUUCUCGAUUGCAUAUAGGAAUUCCUUGUGAAACGAGGAACUAGGCCAAGACCUUCCAAAAUUUAACAAAAUACUCAAAGAAAACAAAAAUACAUUGUCUUCUUUCUUUUCCCUAAUUUUGAAGUUGCAUCUUGGUCUACUUCUUCCUCUCUUCGAGUUGAUGAUUGAAAAAGUCAUCAACAUACGAAAAUAACAGAAUAUGAAGUACAACUUCAACAACGAGUUCUUUAACUAGGCUCAACUAACAGACCAGCUAGAAUUUAUUAUACUGUACUGCAGCUUUAUGAUUUGUUGUACUUCACAUCUUUCUUCUUUCUAUGCAUUCGUCCUCUUAGUGACAAAGCACUGUUUCACAGAUCACAAUUUGAUAUCAGCAUACCAAUGUAUCAAAUGCACCAAGCAUAGAAAAUUGUUUUCUUACCAAAGCUAACAGCUGAUUUACUUAGACAGGAGAGGGAAAAAGACUGAAAGAAAAUUGUUGUACUUCUUUUGUUUUUGAUAUAUCACAAGUAACAGUUGAUUUAAGUAUAUCCAUAUAGAGCCCCAGACAACAUCUAGAUGGUAAAAAGCAAACAAUGUCUACGACAGACGUCUCACAAUUAUCAUUACCAAUAAAUAUCAAAGCUGGUAACAGAGGGAUCGGUUUCACCUUUAUGGGCCGCUUUUGAUUAUCUUUCACAAAUUGAAGAACAAGCUUUGAUACAACUAUGCAGUUCUUUUUCCUUCAAACUACAACUAGCUUGGAUAUGAAAAUUUGAUACACCAACUGCACCAAAGAACUGUAAAUUGUUAAUACUGUUUCUAGUACAUACCCAAAACUUACAAAGCAAGCAUACUUGUUAUACCCAAAAACUGGACCCCCUCUGCUAUACUCUUUAAUGAAUGAAUGCCAACGUGAGCUAGGAGAUAAUAGGAAGUAUGUUUGAAAGGUCAGUAUGAAUACAAUUAAGGCUUAGCCUCUGCUCCUCUCUUCGAGUUGAUCAAAAAAGUCACCAACAUACGAAAUUAACAGAAUUUGAAGCACAACUUCAACAACGAGUUUCUUUAACUAGGUUCAACCAACAGACUGGCUAGGAUUUCUUACACCGCACUGCAGCCUUAUAAUUUGUUAUACCCUCCGCAUCAUUCCUCUUUUUAUGCAUUAUUCCUCCUAGUGACAGAGGACUAGUAAAGCAACCGACUUUGAAUGCAGCUUGGUAAAUGCAGGUACAGCAAAGACAAAAAUACAACGCACAUGAAGCUUGAUACUAUAUGACAAAUGCUAAUAACCAUAAACUGUUUCAAUAAGAAAGCAUGAAACAAAAAGAGCCAAAUUAUCACUCACAGGAGUGAUCCAGAGCUCCCGGAUUCCACAGACUGAACAAUCCUGGAAACAAUCCCAACCAAAUUUAUUGCUUAUGAGAGUCCUCCUAAAUUUAUCUAAAUGUAUCUUUUCAACUAGCAUAUCCCUCUAGUUUUCAACCCAAAAUUGAAUCAAAACUAGUUGUCAACUAGCAUAAAAGAUUGAUUACACACAUUAAACCUCUCCAAAAAUCCAUUGACACCUUCGUGUCAUGUCUCUUGGAGUAGGUUAUCAAACAAGAUUCUUCAAACUAGAAAGAGAAAGAUGGAUACUAUGAUUUUCAAAGUAGCGACCACAUCAAAAGCAACUGAAAAAGCUCGAGAUCCAGUAUGCAGAGAUGCAAAACAGAACAAAAUAGGGGGAUUUUGGAAAACUAAACAAAACAAAACGAAAUAUGAUCAAGGCAAAAUGCACUUCUUUCGAAUAGUACAUCACCAACGCACGUCUGAUGUGCAUAACUGCAAAUAGAUAAAUAUUAUUUUGGAAAAAGCCCUAAACAAUUUAGCAGUACAUGUUGUGCUUACAUCCCUACAGCAGAAUUGAAGAUCUGGAAGGUUUUCUCAUCAAGCGGACAGAAUCCUGGUGACAGCGAAUUGGCAGAGAAGCGGGGGAUAUCAUUAGUAGUAGUAUUACAUCUAUUGAUCAUGAACUUACACCAAAAAAGUUUACAAGUGUCAGUCAUGCCAACACCAUCCCACAGCAAAGCCAAGCGGUGGUCGUCGUCCUUUCUGAUCUGGAACAACCUUGGAGAGAAAGGUCGGACAUCCAACGCUUCUGCUUCUGGUGAUGGCCGAUAAGCAUGUGGAAGCUCGAUCCCGUCAUUCGAGAGACCCUGAACUGGUUCUGGUAGCCAUUGACGCUCUUCAAGAUCAAAAACAUAUAUUCCAGGAACUAGUUCAUCCCACGCCUCCACUUGAACCCUCCUCCCUAUUCUCCCUAUUAUCUUGGCUUCUUCUUCCGGUGUUUUUGGUUUGCGUUUUGGACUCCUGGUGCCAAAAGAAAACAAGUAGCGAUCCUCGUAGAGCACCGCGCCAGGAGACCAAUUACCCCACAAGUUGUCAUCAAGCACAUCCUCGUCCCACUUUUCUGACUCCAAAUCAUACGAGAGCAUGACAUGGGGACUGUAGGCUCCACCCUGUUGGGAGUAGACGUACAGUUUUUUCUUAGUAAGACCAAGAAGAUGUAGCCUAUGUAAAAAUCCAUUGCGCUUGGGGUUGGGACCUUGUGGCGGUACCGGCAACUUCUCCAAUACUCUGUCUACUCCGGGACGGAAUCGGUAGACUGUAGGUCCAACACAAUAAGCAUAACCAUCAUGGCCAACAGCUACUCCUCCCCGAAAUUGACCGUCUCCAAGUUUCCCACCUCCUAAGAGCCAUUCGUCUAUUCCCAUAUCCAAAUUCCUGAAGUCUAUGUAACGAUAUCCAAGAGAUUCAUCACGCAUAUGCUUGAGUGUAUACCCAUCUCCACCAAUCAGAUAAGCCCAUGAGUUUAAAACAGCAAGAUUGUUAGUAGACGAACCUGAAUCGGGAAGAGGGAGUCGUCUGACUCUAUCUGUUUCGGAUUUACAUCCAAUCACCUCAUCGCCGGAUGAUAGGGCUGAUUCCAUCGACUUCUCCUCAAUCACAUACCAAAAAGUCUUCUCGAAUCCACCUACCCUUACGUAGAUUGGUCUGUCCUUUCCGGCCAGUGCGAUUACGGCUCCUACAGUCAUGGUCCCUUUGUUUCUUUUCCGUCGAGACCUAACCUAAGCUUUUGUUUUCUUCUUUUCUGAGAGAUGGAAGCUUUUGUUUUCUCUGAGAGAUGGAGGCGUUAGGUAUUCAUCCUACUCUCCUUUUUAUAUAACUUAGGACAUAAGCCUGAGGCCCAAAACCAAAAAUAAAAGAAGUAGUAGAACCCUAAGUUCAUUUUCUCGUUUUUAUAUAAGAGUGCCUUUAUGGCUCCAUCUAACAUCUAAACCCUAGGUUGACGGAAAAGAAUCAAGCGGCGAUGACGACUAUAGGAAGCGAUGGAGACAGCGGCAAAGACAGGGCGAUCUACGUAAGGAUAACAGGCCGCGAACAGAAUCGCUGGUACGUGAUCGAGGAGAAAUCAUCGAUGAACUCAUUACUAUCAUUUGCCAAUGAGGUGAUUGGAUGUGAAUCCGAAAGAGAUGUAGUUAGACGACUCCCUCUUCCCGAUUCAGGUCUUUCCAGUAACAACCUUGCUGUUUUGAACUCCCGUAUGUAUCUGAUUGGUGGAGAUUCUUAUACAUAUAGGCAUUUUAGUGGAGAUUUGUAUACAUAUACGAAUUUGGAUGUUGAAUCUCUUGGAUAUCGUUAUAUGGAUCUGAAAUAUUUAGAUUCGAACUUGGAAAUAGAGGAAUGGCGGGCAGGAGGUGGGAAACUUGUAGACCAUCAAUUUGGGGGAGGAGUAGCUGUUGGCCCCGACGGUUAUGUAUAUUCGGUUGGACCUACAGUUUACCGAUUCCAUCCCGAUGUAGGUAAAUGUGAGAAGUUGCCUAUACCGCCACAAGGCGGCAACCCCAUGCCUGACAGAUUAUUACAUAGGGCACGUCUUCUUGGUAUCACUAAGAAAAAACUUUACGUCUAUACCGAAGAAGGUGGAGCCGAUUAUGCCAAUGUCAUGCUUUCUUUUGAUUUGGAGUCAGGCAAGUGGGACGAGGAUGAUGUGCUCGAUGACAACUUCUGGGGUGAUUGGUCUCCCGGCGUGGUGCUACACGACGACCGCUACUUGUUUUCUUUCGGAAUCAGGAAUCCCAAGCUCAAACCCUACUCAUCAGAGGAGGACGAAGAGGUUUCUGGAAUAUAUGUAUUUGAUCUUGAACAGCGUCGAUGGCUACCGGAACCAAUUGAGGGUCUCCCGAGUGAUGGAACCGUGAUUCCUCAAGCUUACAAGCCAUUACCGUGGGAUGUAAUGUAUGGCCGAAGAUUUUCUCCGCAGUUAUUCCAGAUCAGAGAGGACGACGAUCACCACUUGGCUUUGUUGUGGGAUUCUGUUGGCGUGUCUAUCUGUGAUCUUACUUGGUGUAAGUUCAUACUGGAUGUUUGUACUACUACUAGUGAAGAUAUCCCUCGCUUCUAUGCCCAUUCGCUGUCAAGAGGAUUUUGUCUGCUUGAUGAGAAAACCGGCGACUUGCUCAAUUGUGCUGUAGGGAUGUAAGCACCACAAUACCACAUCAUUUACUACUAAUUUGUUUGGGGCCUAGGCUAGGGUUUAUCAGAAACUAUGAUGAGGAUGAGUUAUUGCGAUCUGUCCGAUUCAGUUUGAUUGUUAAUUUCAUAUACUACAGAGUCUAAUUUGUUUGGGGCCUCAAAUUAGACUACAAAGAAAUGAAAAUUUUACCUCUAAAAACUGCUCGGACAAAAGAACCACAAAUUCUUCAAAUUGAAGCAAAUGAAAACAAAUUACAAUAAUCUUUUUUGAAAAUAUUAGUUUUGGAGAAUAAUCUUUUUAUUGGUUACAUUUAGAGAAGAAUCUUUCGAUAUCGAAAUAAUUGAUUUUUAGGAAAGAAAAUAAUCGAAAUAUCACGUCCUAGACGGAAAAAGAAAUUUAAUGAAAUAUAAGAUACGUGUANNNNNNNNNNNNNNNNNNNNAAAGAAACAAAGGGACCAUGACCGUAGGAGCCGUAAUCGCACUGGCCGGAAAGGACAUGCCAGUCUACGUAAGGGUAGGUGGAUUCGAGAAGACUUUUUGGUAUGUGAUUGAGGAGAAGUCGCCGAUGGAAUCAGCCCUAUCAUCCGGCGAUGAGGUGAUUGGAUGUGAAUCCGAAACAGAUAGAGUGAGACGACUCCCUCUUCCCGAUUCAGGUUCGUCUACUAACAACCUUGCAGUUGUAAAAUCCUGUGCCUAUCUGAUUGGUGGAGAUGGGUAUACACUCAAGCAUAUGCAAGAUGAAUCUGUUGGAUUUCGUCACAUAGACUUGAGGAAUUUGGAUAUGGGAGUAGACGAAUGGCUUUUAGGAGGUGGGAAACUUUUUGACGGUCAAUUUGGGGGAGGAGUAGCUCUUGGCCAUGAUGGUUAUGCUUAUUGUGUUGGACCUACAGUCUACCGAUUCCGUCCCGGAGUAGACAGAACAUUGGAGAAGUUGCCGGUACCGCCACAAGGUCCCAACCCCUGUCGCUAUGGAUUAUUACAUAGGCUACGUCUUCUUGGUCUUACUAAGGAAAAACUGUACGUCUACUUCAGGCAAGAUGACAAUGGUACCAAUGUCAUGCUCUCGUUUGAUUUGGAGUCAAGAAAGUGGGACGAGGAUGUGCUUGAUGACAACUUCUUGGGUACUUGGUCUCCUGGCGCGGUGCUCUUCCAGGAUCGCUACUUGUUUUCUUUUGGCACCAGGAGUCCAAAACGCAAACCAAAAACACCAGAAGAAGAAGAAGCCAUUACAAUAAGGAGGAGGAGGGUUCAGGAGAUUGAUGAGGGGUGGGGUUAUGUGGAGGAGGAUGAGCUGGUUCCUGGAAUAUAUGUUUUUGAUCUUCAUGAGGGUCGAUGGCUACCAGAACCAGUUGAGGGUCUACCGACUGACGGGAAGGUGAUGCCUCAUGCUUUUCGGCCAUUACCAGAAGCACCAUUGUAUUGCGGAGAUUGGAAUCCACGGUUGUUCCAGAUCAGAAAGGACGAGGACGACCACCGCUUGGCUUUGUUGUGGGAUGCUGUUGGCAAUAUUGACGACUGUAAACUUAUUUGGUGUAAGUUCAUGAUCAAUAGAUGUGAUACUAGUACUGAAGAUAACCCCCGCUUCUCUGCCAUUUCGCUGUCACCAGGAUUCUGUCCGCUUGAUGAGGACACCUUCCAGAUCUUCAAUUCUGCUGUAGGGAUGUAAGCGCAACAUGUACUACUAAUUUGUUUAGGGCUUUUUCCAAGAAUAAUAUUUAUCUAUUUCCAGUUAUGCACAUCUGAUGUGCGUUGGUGAUCUACUAUUUGAAAGAAGUGCAUUUUGCCUUGAUCAUAUUUAUCGUUUCGUUUUCCAAAAUCCCCCUAUUUUGCAUCUCUGCAUACUGGAUCUCGAUCUUGUUCAGUUGCUCUUGUUGUGAUCGCUACUUUUGAAAAUCAUGGUAUCCAUCUUUCUCUUUCAAGUUUGAAGAAUCUAGUUCGAUAAACUACACGGAGAGUUGAUACACAUGUGCAUCACUCUGCUUGCAUGAACCAGAAGCGUCUUCUGAACUUUAUCAAGUCAAAGCUUAAAAAGAACCUGAUGAGGUAGAAAACUAUGUUCCUUUCAGUUUGUUUCAGUGAGCUUGAUAUUGUUACAGAUUCAAUCUUUUCAUAUCUCUGUGACUGUUGAAGUUUCUAACUACUAACUAUGAGAAUCAACUUGGAUUGCCAGGUAGUCAUAUUCAGAGAUGGAAAAUAUCUUACACUUCAGGAAGUUUUUAAGAGUUUGGACUUGACAGGGUAAAUAUUGCUCUUCCUGAAACUGUUUAUCUAUGAAUAAUUAAAGCUCUCUCUCAUGCACAUUGCUUUUUCCUUAUUUUAGGUAUGAUCUGAAUGUUGACUUAUUGGAUGUUCAUGCGGAUAAGACUACUUUUCAUCGAUAUGACAAGUUCAAACUAAAGCAUAAUCCGUGUGGCCAGAGCAGACUCAGAGAGAUAUUCUUGAAGCAAGACAAUCUAAUCCAAGGUAUGAUCAUUUUGAAAGUUAAACUGUUAAGAUCAGGAUAUCAUACUUGUGCAUAUUCUUGUUGGGUCUUGGUUGAUUUACCUUUGAUAAUCAAUUAUUAUCUUAUAUAGAUUGAAGUGCAUAGCAUUUCAAUCUCUUCAGCUGGACUUGUCUUGUAAAGUUACUGUUUUAUUUAUGUGUACAAUUGCAGGACGAUUUUUAGCAGAAGUAACAAAGGAAGUUUUGAAAGAUCUCGAAGCCAUGAAAUACCAGGUUUUCCUCUUUAACAUUUUAUAGGAAGAUUUGCUUGCAUUGAUCAUUUAUGCAUGUCUGAUAAUGAAUUUCUCUUUUUGCAGAUGGCAGAGUACAGGAUUUCAGUUUAUGGGAGAAAACAAAGUGAGUGGGAUCAACUGGCUAGUUGGUUUGUUAACAAUGACAUUUACAGCGAGAAUGUAGUAUGGUUAAUACAGGUAUAUUAAUGCUCUUUUAUUUUUGUUCUGGUAGCUGUUCUAUUCUUGGUAGUCAAUGUCUAUCUUCAUUGCUGAGAUCUUCUAUUUGUGACAUUGUUGUUGUACUUGGGAGUUGGUUGGAUUGGUGUAAUGUAUUGCAAACAAUUUUUUUUCCUAGCAUAUAGAACCGGACCUUAUUUAAGUAUAAUGUUUGAGUUUAUAUUGUAUGAACACAUUCCAGGAGAGGUAACAGUAAGGUUGUUUUAUAUUGUGCUUAUAUCAUGUUAGACAUCAGCCAUAAAUCUGUAGUUCUUUCUUUGUUACUCAUGCAUGGGAUUGCAUGAUAUUGUGUUUUUCUUUUUGCAGAUGGCAGAGUACAUGAUUUCAGUUUAUGGGAGAAAACAAAGUGAGUGGGAUCAACUGGCUAGUUGGUUUGUUAACAAUGACAUUUACAGCGAGAAUGUAGUAUGGUUAAUACAGGUAUAUUAAUGCUCUUUUAGUCUUGUUCUGGUAGCUGUCCUAUUCUUGGUAGUCAAUGUCUAUCUUCAUUGCUGAGAUCUUCUAUUUGUGACAUUGUUUUUGUACUUGGGAGUUGGUUGGAUUGGUGUAACAUAUUGCAAACAAUUUUUUUUUCCAGCAUAUAGAACCGGACCUUAUUUAAGUAUAAUGUUUGAGUUUAUAUUGUAUAAACACAUUCCAGGAGAGGAAACAGUAAGGUUGUUUUAUAUUGUGCUUAUAUCAUGUUAGACAUCAGCCAUAAAUCUGUAGUUGUUGAUAUUUGUAGACUGAUGAGCAUAUUUAAUAGGCUAAUUGUUUUGUGUUGAUGUGUCAUAGGUUUGUGUAGAUAGACUUACUUGGACAUAGCCUCUAUCUCUGUCAUCCCAAGAAUUACUGGUUGACAGGUACUUAAAAUGUCUGUUCUUCCAUUCCAUUUUAUUUGAUAUUCUGGUUACUCAUUGAUUCCAUAUUUUGGCCAAACCUUUUCAAAAAAUGGCGGUAGCCAACAAUCUUCUACAUGCAAAUUUGGCAUACUUUAGGGUUUAGCUUUGCUUCUUUUCCUUUUUUGCUCCAGAUCUAUUAUUAUUACCCUUUCUCUGCUGUUACCGACAAUGCAAAGAACUACAAUGAUCUUAGGUGGAAAUAUUAGCCUCUAGGUUUGAAACUAAAUGAUUUGAUAAAUGAGAUACGACGCCAAAGAUGUUCCUACCUUCGGUAUGUUUCUAUAUUUUUCUUUUACUUCUGGUAUAUAUACUUCUUUUUUCUCUAUAUCACUUGGGGCCAGUCAGCACCCAGGUGGAGUUUCCCUCGGGUCUUGCUAGGAUUGACAUGGUCUUAGACCUGGCAACCUGCUGCUCUUUAGUUUCUUACCAGAAAGAAUCAGACAAAUAUGUCUUGCUAUCUUUAAGACUUUAAUUGCCAUCAGGUCAGUGUUUUACAAAGCGCUUUUAUAAAACCUCUGCUUCUGGGCGACUAUUAUGUUCUAAUAACAGCAUCCAGAUGUAUCCUUUGCAUCAUAUUUGUUCCUUCAUAUUAGGUUGUCUCAGUCAGAUCUUUUUCCUUUUGCAUUUCUACGUAGCUGCCCUUGCCCAAUCAUCUCAUUUGUUGGGCAUCAAUACAUACUAAAUUAGAAAUAAAUGUGAAACUAUGACGAACUGGAUGAAUAUAACAUAGCAAAGUAACUGCAUAAUUUUUGUUCACGUAAUGUAUGCAAGGCAGAAGUGUGGUGCCUCUUUUUGUGUCAUCACUGUUAUCAGAGUACAGGAGGGUUUGUGUCUGGUCAGUGCAACAUCUGAUCUCAUAAAGUAAUUUGUAUUGGAUGUUAGUAGUUGAUGCAUUCAGUUCCUCCAUUGUGCUUAUAUCAUGUUAGACAUCAGCCAUAAAUCUGUAGUUGUUUCUUUGUUACUCAUGUAUGGAAUUGCAUGAUAUUGUGUUUUUUCUUUCAUGAUAUAUUGCAAGUAACUUUUUCCUUGAAAUCAUCGUCUUGCAUAGUUUCAUUAGCUCUUAUGGUUUUAGUUUUGACAUUUGCAGCUACCACGGUUAUACAAUAUCUACAAGAAGAUGGGGAUUGUUAUCUCUUUCCAAAACAUUUUAGAUAAUGUUUUCAUUCCCCUUUUCGAAGUCACGGUGGAUCCAAAUUCACAUCCUCAAUUACAUUUGUUCCUGAAGCAGGUCAGCUAAACAAUCUUAUAGAUCUGUUUUACGUUUUUGGUUGAGAGAAUCCUUUUAGAUCCUGUAGAUGCUUCUUAUUAUUAUGAAGAUGUGUUGGAUUUUUGAUGUCUUAACUUUUGCUAGUACAAAGUCCAUAAGUACUAUAGUCUAACAUUAACAUUCGUUUACAAACAGGUGGUGGGUUUUGACGUUGUAGACGAUGAAAGUAGACCAGAAAGGCGUCCGACGAAACACAUGCCAACACCAUCUGAAUGGACUAAUGAAUUCAAUCCUGCAUAUUCUUAUUAUGCUUAUUACUGCUACGCAAACUUGUACACUCUUUAUAAGGUUUUUCCUUUUAGAGAAUGCUCUUAUUUCCACCCUUGUCAAAACAUAUCUAGGUGAUAUAGAAAAUGAUUCUGUUCUUCUUUUCCCUUUAUUUCAGCUUCGUGAGUCAAAAGGAAUGACUACAAUAAAAUUCCGGCCGCACUGUGGAGAGGUUAUUGUCUGCAACCUAAACUCGGUUAUUACAUUUAGAUGAUUUUUAAGAUCGACAAUUUUCGUAUAUCCUAUGCAGGCAGGUGAUGUUGACCAUUUGGCUGCGGGAUUUCUUGUAUGCCAUAAUAUCUCACAUGGUAUCAAUCUUCGGUACUCUCCAGUUCUGCAAUACCUAUAUUACCUGGGGCAGGUUGAUCCCUUUUGACUUUAUUUUUAUCUUUAUGGAAGUUACCCCUUAAGUUUUCAUGUUCUUUAUAUGCUAUUGAACCUUUCCGACUUGUGCUUUAUUGUUAACAAAAUCAUUAUUAACCUCCUUUGCAAUGCAGGUGGGACUGCUUAUGUCACCCUUGAGCAAUAAUUCUCUUUUCUUGGAUUACAAGAAAAACCCGUUCCCUGUGUUCUUUCAACGUGGGCUAAAUGUGUCACUUUCAAGUGAUGAUCCUUUGCUAAUUCAUUUGACAAAAGAAGCGCUGGUGGAAGAAUAUAGCGUUGCAGCACAGGUUUGUCGAUUCACGAUUCUUGUAGCUUUAUAGGUGCUGUUCAUGGUUGGGUAUCUUAUCAAAUCAAGUAUGGUGCAGGUGUGGAAGCUCAGUGCUUGUGACCUCUGCGAGAUUGCUAGAAAUUCUGUAUAUCAUUCUGGAUUUUCACAUGCAGCAAAGGUGGGAAACUUGCAGAAAGAAAAUUCUUUAGUUUUCUUCCUAAUAAAAAUAUGCACCUAAAUGAUCCAUCCUAUAGAAUCAUCAUGGAAAUAAAAGUCCAAUUUCAUAUAUGAUCUUGAAAUCUGUAUGAUCCAACUUUACCACAAGGUGAUUGAUUGCAUAAUUCAACUCCUUUUCCUUGUUCGUGCAGACACAUUGGCUUGGUAGCAAGUAUUUCUUGAGAGGCCCUAAAGGAAAUGAUAUCCAAAAGACAAACGUUCCCAAUUUGAGGAUUGCCUUUCGAGAAACGUCAAGUGUUUAUGAUUUUUAAGCAGCUUUGGAAGAGGUUAAUUAACAGGGUGCCCCUCUUGUCCCGGUUUUCUAAUUGUGUGCUUGGUUUUGCAGACGUGGAAGGAGGAGAUGCAGUAUAUCUAUCACUGAGAAGCGGAGUUUCCAGAAGAAGUUGAUCCAUGAAGCAAAGGGAAAUAUGCUGCUGUAUCAUGUUCUUCUAAAUACAAGUAUAGAUUGGAAGCUUUGGCGGCAGUUACAUAGGUCUAAGCUGAAGGAGCAUAUGAAAUAUUGUGUGGAUCACCCCGUGGUGAUCCGCAAACUUGCUAAAGUAAAAGCUGAAGUUUUGGGAUCAAUUUGGUAUCAUGUGUGUUGACAUUUGAUGGUGUUCCACUACAUUAAAACACUAUUACAAAGUAAAAGCUGGAGUUUUGGGAUCAAUUUGGUGUCAUGUGUGUUGACAUGUGAUGGUGCCACUACAAUAAAGCACUAUUACAAACCAGACUUUAAGAACUCAACACGAAGAAGCAAAUUCCAUAACACGAAGAAACAAAUCCGUUUCAGAAAGAAAAAAAAACAAAGGGAACAAACUCCAUACAAAAAGAAUUAAAGAACAGUCGUACAGGAGAAAUAUACGAAAGAUACGAAAGGCAAUCCUAUAAUCGUCCGGUUAAUAUAUCGCCAAUGGGGAACUUGGAAUGGGAGUAGCCACCAAACACCACGGCAAUGUAGAAGGCUUCGUAGAUUCGUUCAAUCAAAGAGGGAAAUCGUAUAUAUAAUUCAAUAAGAAUAUUACUUGCCUCCAUCUGGUAAGCCAUGCACCUUGUUAUAGUUCUGUGCCUCCAUAUGCCGGUGUCUAACGUAAUUGUGUGCGAAGAUCACAAUGGAUGCCGGAGAUUGGACUAUUGUAUUGGUAUGUGGGUCGUACACUUCCCUGUAGAUUCCUUUACUAGAACCAAAUAGGCACACUUCGUUGAGAGCAAGGGCUCCGUGAGUCAAUUCUGCUGACCAAUUCCAAUAGUGCUGACCUAGAGAUGCUUCAAAUUUUGGAGAGUUCAACAGAUUGUACUGGGAUUGCGAGUCAGCGGUUGUGCAUAGCUGAUAUAUAUUCGCUAGAAAUCAAAGUUUGUUGUUGCUAUCCCAGAAGCUUGGAUAGUAAAAGACAAACUUUAGGUGGUCGCCAGUAUAAUCAUGAGGAAGGAAAGGUGGUGCCGUGGUGAAGUAUCUGCACAACUCUUGGACAGAAAAGACCACCAAUUCUCAACAUGCUUCUGUGAGUCCUCGUCCCGCAACUUAACUUUUCCAAGAAUGUCAUCACGCAAGGCUUUGGCAUCACUUUGGUAUACGAGUGGUCCUGUUUCACGCCCCAAAUUUAAAAAGAGAGGCUGAAAAUCAGUAGUCACUCCUAUACCUUGAAACAAAUUGCCAUGGGGCCGGUCAACUUCUACCAAAUAUGUCAUGUGUUGCCCAACUUUGCUCAAGAUGUUCCACAUUGCUUCAUCCGUAACUUGUCCCUUGGUAUGUUCAUCCAUCCACACCUUGAUGUGUCUGAUGACCUUUGGAAAAAUCAGCCAGUAUGUUCCUCCCUGUAUCUUCCUACAACGCUGUGGAUGUAUGAAAACUUUUUCAUCGUGCCUCGUUUGAGUGUCCCAAUGUCUUGUAGCUUCAGCAUCGCUGUUGCACACUUGUACAGUUGCAAUACUGUACUUCUCGAUAAAGUCUUGACGUUUGAUGUAUAUGAGAUAUUCGAAACUUUCAAGAGAUCGUUGAGGCCUAACAGGUUCACGGUAAAAAACUUCCCUCCUUCCCUCCUCUUCUAGCCUUGAUUCAAGCCUUGAUGAAGGAUUCGAAACCAUUAUACCUUUUGGGUUAUGAUCAAAACUCGUAUGCUGUUCUGCGGCUUCGAUUUGGGGUUUAAAUAAGAGAGGGACACCGACAAUAUAUAUCUCCUUGUGCAAAUAGGGAUAUGUUCUUGCCUUAGGGUUUCUAACAGCUUUUUGGGCUUCUUUUUUGGUACAAAUACGGGCCCAAGGCCUAAUUGGGGUACCUUACGCAUCCGAGCCUAAAAGAUGUAUUUUUUCAGUGCAAUGUACAAUUGACAAUUCCCAAUAAAAUUGGGUACAGAAUUCCUUGUGAAACGAGGAACUAGGCCAAGACCUUCCAAAAUUUAACAAAAUACUCAAAAGAAAAUAAAAAUACAUUGUCCAUAAUUUUCCAUAAUUUUAAAGUUGCAUCUUGGUCUACUUCUUCCUCUCUCCGAGUUGAUGAUCGAAAAAGUCAUCAACAUACGAAAAUAACAGAAUACGAAGCACAACUUCAACAACGAGUUCUUUAACUAGGCUCAACCAACAGACCGGCUAGGAUUUAUUAUACUGUACUGCAGCUUUAUGAUUUGUUAUACUUCACAUCUUUCUUCUUUCUAUGCAUUAGUCCUCCUAGUGACAAAGCACUGUUUCACAGAUCACAAUUUGAUAACAGCAUACCAAUGUAUCAAAUGCACCAAGCAUAGAAAAUUGUUUUCUUACCAAAGCUAACAGCUGAUUUACUUAGACAGGAGAGGAAAAAAGACUGAAAGAAAAUUGUUGUACUUCUUUUGUUUUUGAUAUAUCACAAGUAACAGUUGAUUUGCAUAUAUCCAUUUAGAGCCCCAGACAACAUUUAGAUGGUAAAAAGCAAACAAUGUCUACGACAGACUUCUCACAAUUAUCCUUACCAAUAAAUAUCAAAGCUGGUAACAGAGGGAUUGGUUUCACCUUUAUGGGCCGCUUUUGAUUAUCUUUCACAAAUUGAAGAACAAGAUUUGAUACAACUUUGCAGUUCCUUUCCUUCAAAACUACAAAGUAGCUUGGAUUGGGAAAAUGCGAUUACACCAACUGCACCAAAGAACUGUAAAUUGUUAAUACUGUUUAUAGUACAUACCCAAAACUUACAAAGCAAGCAGACUUGUUAUACCCAAAAACUGGACCCCUUCUGCUAUACUCUUUAAUUAAUGAAUGCUAACUUGAGCUAGGAGAUAAUAGGAAGUAUGUUUGAAAGGUCAGUUCAAAUACAAUUAAGGCUUAGCCUCCGCUCCUCUCUCUUUAGUACUUGGUAUAAUUUUGAAGUUGCAUCUUGGUCUACUUCUUCCUCUCUUCAAGUUGAUAAUCAGAAAAGCCAUCAACAUACGAAAAUAACAGAAUACGAUGCACAACUUCAACAACGAGUUAGGCUCAACCAACAGACUGGCUAGGAUUUAUUAUACCGUACUGCAGCUUUAUGAUUUGUUAUAGCUCUCGUAUCUUUCUUCUUUUUAUGCAUUAGUCCUCCUGUUGACAGAGCACUAGAAAAGCAACCGACUUUGAAUGCAGCUCGGUAAAUGCAGGUAUAGCUAAUCUAAAAAUACAACAUACAUGAAGCUUAAUACUUUAUAACAAAUUCUAGAAACUACACGCAUAAACUGUCUCUAUAAAAAAGCAUGUGACCGAAAAACAGCCAAAUUAUAUACUCACAGGAGUGAAGCAGAGCUCCCUGAUUCCCCAGACUGAACAAUCCUCAAAACAAUCCCAACGACAUCAGGAGAAACACUUUUGCCGAAAACGAAGAGAAGCAAACCACUCUUUGUCAGCUUAACCAGCUUAAGAAGAGGACCUGUCUCUCCAUCUGUAUUCACCUUCACAGUAGAGCAAGCACCUUCUUCCACAUCACCUGUCACAACCUGUCACAGUGAUCACAAACAAUUCCCAUCACAACAAAAACCGAAAAGCAUAAAAACAACUGCAACUCUGCCAACUCAUACCUUCACUACCGUUACCGCAAUCACCAUCCACAUUUUCCUCCGAAAUCUUCCUUCUUUUAGAAACCGAAUUUUCUUCAUUACCGCUAUUAUUACUGAAUGUACUGUAGUAAAUAAAGAAACAGAAGAACAUUUUAACCAUUCAUGGCUAAGAAGGUUAAUACAGCGAUUACAUUACAGAAUCGGAGAUUGCUUUUACCUUUGCGUAGAGGGAGAUUGCUUCUUUAGUGGCGCUUUUCUCGCGCUUUGGAAAACGAAAAGAACGGCGAUAGAUUAGGAUUUAGGGUUUUAGAAGUAUCAAAAAAUGAAGCAAGAGAUUAGAAGGAGGAGAGAGAUGGUUACAGACUGAUGGGGCAGGUGAUGAGGAAGCCGGAGUGGGAGUGGUGAAGAAGAGAAGAAGGGGCGUCGUAGUCGAAGCGAGGGAUGCUGAUGACGGCAGAGUACUGCUCCCAUGGCGUCAUCUCCUUCUUCUCGCUCAGCUCACAUUCGCCGCCCGCCACCGCCUUUCGAUUUCACUGACAACGGAACACUACUGUGUUGGACUAGAGUGGAAGUAUAAACAGCUUUGUGGGCUUGUUUUUGUCCAAAUGGGGGCCCAAGGUCUGGGUUUUUUUUUUGGGCUUUAAACUAAAUCUUUAGAAAAAUUGUGUGAAAAUAAACGGAUUUAGCUUCUCUGCUUGGAGAAAGCAUUGCUUGGAUCUGCUUGGGUUUUACUGUUAUGCUGACACGUCAUCUAAUACAAAUCCAAGGGUUAAAAUUCAUCUGUCCAGAAAUGCAAACUUCCAUGUGCAGCACCGGAUCUCUCUCCACAUAUCCCAUCCGUUCUUGUCUUCUUCUUCUUCUUCUUCUUCUUCUUCUUCUUCUUCUUCUCUCUCUCUCUCUCUCUCCUCUCACAUCUCAUCCCAUACCAUACCAUCCCGCAUGAACUAACAAACAAGAAUUCAUGAAUGCCCAACAGAAAUCUAAAGCUUGUUCCUUUUGAACUAAAAAUGAAUCAUUUUGAGAGAAAUCAAAGUCCCAAGAUAAAAAACAUAAUUAGAAUUGGUACACAAGGAUCCUUAAAGCUUGGAGUAUAAUUACGAACCCAAAAGCUUUAACCAUCACAAAAUCAAGGUAACACUUUAAUCCUCUCUCACCCCUAAAUUUUAGAGUCCCACUCCAAUUCUCUAAUUUGAAGAAUUAGAACACAAUAAAGCUAACACAAUUAGAACAAAAGACCCAGAACUAAAAAUCAAAUACCCAGAAACCAAAACCAAUGAAUCAAUCAAAUCACCUCCUCCACCUCCGAUUGGUGGUGUUUUAGCUCAGCGGCACGACCUCCUGCGCGCAGCGGAGUCGAAAGUGGAGUCGGAAUCGACGAGUUCAGAUAGGCGAGGCAGAGACGGUGUUGCUCGACUUGCCCUCUUGCCGGCGUCGUACAAUCACCACCUCCACAUCUGCAGAUGGACUCGACGGGAGAGACGGAGUAUGAUGUGUUAUGUUUGAUGUAAAUUUGCGUUUUUAGAGUUAUUUGAUCAUUGUCCGUUGAAUUGCUAAGAAAUGACGUGUCAGCCUAGAGUCAUGUCCAAGCAGAUCCAAGCAAUACUUGUCCAAGCAGACAAGCCGGAUCCAAAAUAAACAUAUUUGAAAAAUCUUAUAAAAAAUCUGAGUCGAGAUUUUUGAGUUUUGUCAAUUCGAGUGGUCUUCAAAAUAUAUGAUUUGAGUGAGAAAAUAUUUGUUGAAUAAUAAGAACAUGCGAUUUUGGCCAAAAACCCUCAAUUUUGAUUGGAAAAUGAAGUUUCUAAUUUUAUUUGUUAAGUUAUAAACUGGUAGACUUUAUUCAGGACGGCUCUUGGAAUAUAGAUAAACUUUAUUCUGUUCUUGACAAAGAUAUUACUGAUGACAUUUCUGCUAUUAAUAUCCCUUUGAAUGAUUAUGAUGACGAAUUUAUUUGGGGUCCUACUCCAAAUGGAACAUUUUCUAUUACGUCUGCUACUCAUGUGCAAUAUAAAUUGCCUGCUCAUUCUAAGGCAGAUUUGUUGAAAAAGAUCUGGAAGUUGAAUAUUCCCCUAAAAACUAAGAUUUUUUUCUUGGUUGCUAAUUAGGGGCAGAUUAAAAACAAGAGCUUUUUUAGCUCGUUUUAUGAAUACGAUUGAUAGCUCUUGUGCUCCUUUUGGUUCAAGAGUUGGAGUUGAGGACCUCAAUCAUUUGUUCUCUUCCUGCACGAUGGCCACUGCUGUGUGGGAUAUGGUCAACCACUUGCCUAACCCAUCCUCCUCCUCCAAUUGUGAGGAUUGACUGGUCUCUAUUUAUCAGAAUGGUCAACCUCUUACUAUUGAAGACAACUUGUUAGUGUGUUGGCAGAUUUGGAAGGCGAGAAACAAUGUUAUUUUCCGGUCUGCUCAAGUUAAUCCUUCAGUUAUUGUGCAUGCUGCAGCUACUACAGGCUCUGCAUAUCGUCUCAUCAACAUAAAGAUUUCCUCCAGCUCUCCUAGAAAUCUGGAGACCAUUAGAUGGAUUCCCCAGCUCCUAAGAUUUGGAAGGCGAGAAACAAUGUUAUUUUCCGGUCUGCUCAAGUUAAUCCUUCAGCUUUGUGCAUGCUGCAGCUACUACAGGCUUUGCAUAUCGUCUCAUCAACAGAAAGAUUUCCUCCAGCUCUCCUAGAAAUCUGGAGACCAUUAGAUGGAUUCCCCAGCUCCUAAUUGAUUCAAGCUAAACUUUGACCGCUCAGUAACAUCUAAUUCAUCAGUUGUUGGUUUCUUCAUUAGAGACUUUGCUGGCUCUCCCAUUGUGUCAGACGCGCGGAAGCUUCACAAUUCUUAUGUUCCGUUGGCUGAAUGCAUAGAUUUAAAAGGACUUUUUGCUGCUAAAAGAUGCAACUGUAACCAAAUCGAAGUAGAACUUAGCCUCAAAGUAGGCACAUUUCAUGAAGCCAACUUCAAAUGAAUAGAAUGAGCUUGUAUCAACCACUUACUGGUCUUUUAUGAUGGAACAUUGAUGUAUGAUAUUGUGGUAGUGGAAUUGAACCAACUCCUUCAUGAGAAACUUCCAAGAAGCCAAGAAACCAACUCCACAAAAAGCUUUGUGAAAUUUUGUCGCUCAGGAUGCCAACUUUAGGCACGAUUUGCGCCAUGCUCCGUUGAUGUUUCUGAUCAGUUUCUUGACCUGGGAAUGUAGUACAAUAUAUGUACUUGAAUAUAUGGUAGAGCGAACAGCAAAAAGAACCUUGGAAGAUGGCGUGAAUUGUCUCACAAACCAAGAAAGCCAUUUUCUGAAAUUUCCAGCUUUUGCUUAUUACUUGGCUGACUUCUUGAACUUGUAUCUUGAUCGUUCCAUGGCCUCUGGAUGAUUCUUGAACUCAAAAUGCUCUAUGAAAUCACAUGUUGAUUUAUAAUUCAGUACCUCAGCGAUAGGUGCACGUUAAGACAAAGAAGUAAAGCCACAAAACUCAAUGUAGUUAAGUUUCUGGAAAAAAGGCUGUUUUAAGGUGUCGACUUCUGGAGCUCAUAACUCAUGCUUCAAAGCAGCGAAUGGCAUGAUUAUUUUUCAGAUUUGCAGUCCAAUAUCAUGGAUCAAAAAUAGUGUAGGGAGAACAGACAUUGAACCCUUUCAAGGAAGCGCGAAUGAGCCACGAAAAUGCCUCAGAGGAAGCCAACUUUGAAAAUUUCCAGAUUUCCUCAUUGAAGGGACCGACUUGCAUGAUGAAUUCCAUGACCUUCCCUUAUGACUUCUGAGCAAUAUAGCAGCUGAAACUGAACCUUGUCAUCAGUAGAACGUAUUUUGAAGCCAUGGAUGCUUGAUUUAGACUUCCAGAAAGCUCGGUAAAGUGUCCUCAAGAACCAGUGUCUCCUGACAACUGUUGCCGCUAAUAAGCCUAAGAGGCAAGUCGAAUGUCCCGGAAAACAUGAGAUAAAGAUUAAAACCGCAGACGCACCCGGGUGCGCGGCGCACCCGUCAUCUCCACCGUUUAAUUUUUUUUUUUUUUUGGUCGGGUCAAAAUGAACGGUGGAUACACCCGGGUGCGCUGUAUAAUUUUCAAAGAAUGAAAAGAUAAUUCAAAACUCGAAAAGUUUCGAAAAUUUUGCCACAGGAAUUGGCAGAAUGUGUAUAGUGUAGCCCCCCAGUUUAAUUGGGUAUGGCGAAUGUAAACCACAAACUGGUUAACUGUUGGAAUGAGCGUAAGCCGAUUAAACUCGAUCUUUGAGCCUCAGAUUGCCUUCUCUUUGUAGCACCUGUUGUAAUUGAGCUGAUUGUGUAGAGUUGAACUGACAUCCUUGUAUGCUUGCAUUAAUUUGGCUCCAUGAUACUACAAGCUCCUUGUGGUGAUCAAACACAAUAAGACUUGUGUUGUCGCUUUGAACGUUUCGCCAAAGAUGUACUCUUCUUGAACUGUCGUCAACUCUGUCGUUGUGGUAGCUCCAAAACUCAUUGUGCUCUCUAAGAACAACUCAAAAAGUUGUUUGUAAUAGGCGUGCAUAAGUUUGGAUAUGAUUCGCAGCUUUGUAGCCCCCCAGUAUGAACAAUGACGAGAAACUGACGAAACUACUGACAUUGUAGAAUUCCAAAAACCACUGACUGGUGUUGAUUGUCUGACAUUGCAACCGAGGAUGAUUUGAUAUCCGACAGAACUCCAUAAGAAUCACACCAACCUUCCUUGUGGUCGAGUAUCCUUGACAACUGGUUCCUUAACUAUCACUAGGUUGUUCAUCAUCAGUAUCAUUGCUUUCCACUUCAGUGCUCUUCUUAUGCCCAGCAACUAACAACGACAAUUAGACAAUAAUCAUCAAACAUGACGCAUAAAUAUGGAUCAAAUCAUGUUAACAACACACAUACAGCAAAAUAAAGCUUCAUGUGGAAGCCGGCUUUCAAAAAUAAAAAGUGACAGCUUAGCAUUCAUAAAGUUGUAGACUUGGGUACAAAUACAAUUCAUUACUGAGCUUUACAUAUGAACGGAAUUGCAAACUUUCAAUCCCAAUUCCACAUUUUGCUGACGAACAAUAAAUCAAGCCACGCAAAAACAAAAAAUUAAACAACUGGAAACUUGGCAAUUGAAGAUGUAGAUCGAGCUUAAUAACGGAAAUCUAACAGCUCAAAUUAGACUACAGAGAAAUGCGAAUUUUACCUCUGAAAGUUUUCCUUCUUGUAAAAGUUGCUCGUGCCUAGACAAAAGAACCACAAAUUCUUCAAAUUGAAGCAAAUGAAAACAAAUUAGAAUAAUAUUUUUUUUAAAUGUUUGUUUUGAAGAAUAAUCUAUUUAGGGCCUUUUUAUUGGUUACAUUUAGAGAAGUAUUUUUUUUUUUGUUCCUUAUUUAGAGAAGUAUCUUUUGAUAUCGAAAUAAUCGAUUUUUAGGAAAGGAUCGGAAAUAAUCGAAAUAUCACCUCCUUGACGGAAAAAGAAAAUUUAAUGAAAUCUAAGAUACGUGUAUAUCUUUCUUACCGAAAAAAAUAAAAAAUAAAAAAUUCUCCAAUCCAAAAGAAAACGGGAUAAAGACUAGGCCCCAAAUCCCUAUAAAAGAGAGUAGGAUGAGGCUUGGUGAGUGAAGCGGGAUUUGCUCGCAAUGAGGCUUUGGUGGUGCUCCUUGGAGAGGCUUUUUUGGUAAAUUAGGUGCUCCUAGGGAGGCGUCCAAUUUGCAGUGAUGCAGAAUUUUGUUGAAUUGUCGGGGUUUAUUCUCAUUCACCUUGACCUCCUUAUAUGAAAUUGGGUGGCUAGGGUUUGCGAAUGACUUGUCUCUGAAACAAUCGAAUAUCUAAUUGAAUCUAGAAAUAUAUUUUCCUAACCGAGCCCUCUGACACAAUAUCUUUGAGAUAUCCUACAAAUCUUCCGCCAAUAAUUACCCAAUGGAAAAGAAAUAUAUCUACUGAAUUGAACCGCAGGUAUCGCUUCGCAUAUCAGACUAGAUACGAAGUCUAGGUAAAGAUAUUUACCUCAAUACAUAAUUCUUGAAGAUUUUCUCGAUGUCAUCUUCUACGCAAAGAGAUUGCUUUAUGACUCUUCCAACUCGGACGUGCAUGUAUAUCACCUUUAUGCAUUCAAGCGCAAUUAAGGAAUAUAAUCCUCAUAUGACCAAAGAUCAUGCACGUAUUAGGCUUCUCUUGAGAAACAAAGAAUCAAGGAUGAUUAACUUCCUUCUUAGAUAAAACCAUAUAUCUUCCUUAAUCACAAAGGUAACAAAACCUUCCUUACUAGCAUAGCACACGUCUAAGACUCCUUGAAUGCAAAUCCUUUAUUCUAACUCAAUCUUGGUAACCAAACAAUCCUCCAUUAACUACCCCGGAUCCGUGAUAUAUCGAUAAUAUCCCAUAUUUACACCAAAAUGGCUUGAUCUCCAAGUAGGCUUGGUUUAGCCUCAAUAACGAAUAUCUUCAAAGAUACUCAAUCAUAUCCACGACGAACCACAUAACUUGUUCGAUACGCUACAAAUCUAGGGGGUGUAAAUUUACCCUCAAACAGGUCGAGUAUCCUUGACAACUGGUUCCUUAACUAUCAGUAGGUUGUUCAUCAAUCAUCAUCAGUAUCAUUGCUUUCCACUUCAGUGCUCUUCUUAUGCCCAGCAACUAUAAAACACAACGACAAUUAGACAUCGUCAAACAUGACGCAUAAAUACGGAUCAAAUCAUGUUAAUUAACAACACACAUACAGCAAAAUAAAGCUUCAUGUGGAAGCCGGCUUUCAAAAAAAAAAAGUGACAGCUGUUUUAGCAUUCAUAAAGUUGUAGACUUGGGUACAAAUACAAUUCAUUACUGAGCUUUACAUAUGAACGGAAUUGCAAACUUUCAAUCCUAAUUCCACAUUUUGCUGAUGAACAAUAAAUCAAGCCAUGCAAAAACCAAAAAUUAAACGACUGGAAACUUGGCAAUUGAAAUUCUAACAGCUCAAAUUAGACUAUAGAGAAAUGCGAAUUUUACCUCUGAAAGUUUUCCUUGUUGUAAAAGCUGCUCGUACCUGGACAAAAGAACACACAAAUUUUUCAUAUUGAAGCAAAUGAAAACAAAUUAGAAUAAUCAUUUUUGAAAAUGUUAGUUCGGGAGAAUAAUCUGUUUAUUGGUUAGAUUUGGAGAAGAAUCUUUUCAAUAUCGAAAUAAUUGAUUUUUAGGAAAGGAAAUAAUCGAAAUAUCACGUCCGAGAGGGAAAAAGAAAUUUUGAUGAAAUAUAAGAUACUUGUAUAUCUUCCUUAAACAAAAAAAAACAAAAAAAAAUAAAAAUAAAAAAAUUCUCCAAAUUGAGUCCAAAAGAAAACGGGAUAAGGAAUAAGAAAAGGAAUAGGAAUAAGAUUGCCCCCAAAUCCCUAUAAAAGAGAGUAGGAUGAAUCCCUAACGCCUCCAUCUAUCUCUCAGAGAAAACAAAAGCCUCCAUCUCUCAGAAAAGAAGAAAACAAAAUACUUACGUUAGAAGAAUCAAAGGGACCAUGACUAUAGGCGCAGUCGCACUGGCUGGAGAAAGCCUAAAGGACAGGCUAAUCUACGUAAGGGUAGCAGGAUUCUUGAAGGAUUUUUGGUAUGUGAUUGAGGAGAAGUCGCUGAUGGAAUCAGCCCUAUCAUCUGCCAAUGAGGUGAUUGGAUGUGAAUCUGAAACAGAUAGAGUCAGACGACUCCCUCUUCCCGAUUCAUUUUCGCCUACUAACAACCUUGCUGUUGUAAAUUCCUGUGCGUAUCUGAUUGGUGGAGAUGGGUAUACACUCAAGCAUAUGCAAGAUGAAUCUGUUGGAUUUCGUCACAUAGACUUGAGUAAUUUGGAUAUGGGAGUAGACGAAUGGCUCUUAGGAGGUGGGAAACUUGUAGACGCUCAAUUUGGGGGAGGAGUAGCUCUUGGCCAUGAUGGUUAUGCUUAUUGUGUUGGACCUACAGUCUACCGAUUCCGUCCCGGAGUAGACAUGACAUUGGAGAAGUUGCCGGUACCGCCACAAGGUGCCAACCCCAGGCCCAAGGGAUUAUUACAUAGGCUACGUCUUCUUGGUCUUACUAAGAAAAACUAUACGUCUACUCUUUACGGGGUGGAGCCUACCAUCCCCAUGUCAUGCUCUCGUAUGAUUUGGAGUCACAAAAGUGGGACGAGGAUGCGCUUGAUGACAACUUGUGGGGUAAUUGGUCUCCUGGCGCGGUGCUCUUCAACGAUCGCUACUUGUUUUCUUUUGGCACCAGGAGUCCAAAACGGAAACCAAAACCGGGAGAAGAAGAAGAAGCCAAGAUAAUAGGGUGGAGGGAGGUUGUACUGCGGGAUGAGGUGGUUCCUGGAAUAUAUGUUUUUGAUAUUGAAAAGGGUCAAUGGCUCCCAGAACCAGUUAAGGGUCUCCCGAAUGACGGGAAGGUGAUGCCUCAUGCUUAUCGGCCAUUACCAGGAGCAUCAGUUGAUUGCCGAGAUUGGUUUCCACGGUUGUUCCAGAUCAGGAAGGACGAGGACGACCACCGCUUGGCUUUGCUGUGGGAUAUUGGCAUGACUAACAUCUGUAAACUUAUUUGGUGUAAGUUCACGAUCAAAAUAUGUGAUACUAGUACUAGUAAUAACCCCCGCUUCUCUGCUAAUUCGCUGUCACGAGGAUUCUGUCCGCUUGAUGAGACCACCUUCCAGGUCAUCAAUUCUGCUG
Molecule: long non-coding RNA, 54234 nt
Filed under: Fragaria vesca (wild strawberry)
Lineage: Eukaryota; Viridiplantae; Streptophyta; Magnoliopsida; Rosales; Rosaceae
Description: long non-coding RNA (FVES_LNC002127)
Source: RNAcentral